UAACUCAUAUUUCGUCGAUAGCUUAAGCUUUUUGAUAUGCAUAUAACGAUUGUUGUUGCUCAUUUUUGCAGCAUGUUGAGAUCAGGUCGAGGGGAGGUGCUCCAGGCGGCGUGAAUGGAGGGUCCAAGAGCAUCAACGAUGUUGACAUCUAGAGGAGGAAGAUGAGAAGCUAGCUAGUAUAGUAGCAGCUAGCCCAUGGAUGGUGAUUCCUCCUCAUUCCCAAGCGUCGAGCAUCCUGUAACAAAUCAUCGAUCAGUUGCUCGGUCGUGUCGGUCCUUCGUGUCACUAAUAGCUAUCAUUUUCAGUUUCUAGUAGUUGUACGUGUUUGAUCUGCUCUCGAUCUGUUCCAGGCUAUGUUGCGUCGUGGUGGUAUGGUACUACUGUAACUCUGAGUCCUUCAUGUAAUCAUGUCAAUGGUGUGUGGUCUUUUGCAAAUUAAGCAGUGGAUGGUGCGUUGUGAUAUGCAUUAUUAGUAGAUUGAUAUCUGUCGCACAAGAGAUUCCUUUUAUUUUCUUGAGAUUCCCUUUGCUGGAGACUUGUCUCAAGUAGAGUCAAGUGCUUGAUUGUUGUUGGUGCUGAACCACUGUGUUACAUGAAACUGAUACUGGUCAGUUCUCAUAUUCAUGUCUUUGAUCCUUACGUUUCUACAACGUACUGCCUGUGAUCUGACAACAAAUUAGGCACACUAGUCCACCAACCCGUGCUGCCGCACGGGCUAAUGUUUUUAGAAACUAUUGUAUUUGAAAAUUAUUUAGAAAUUAAACUCCUAGCUAAUAAUCAAAAUUGAUUACCUACUGCUCUCUUAUUUUUUUCAAAACGUCAACAUAAUACUAUAUAACCUAUCUUUAUCCAGUUGUGAUUGAUUUUUAAUUAAUAAUUACUCUAUGCACUUUUUCAUCCAUAUUCAUACUUUUUCUAUUUUGUAUCGCACAUCCAAUCCUCCAUAUAUUAUGUUUAGCAAACAAAUCAAUAUUUUUCAUCGAUUCCUCACAUACAUGUAUAAAUGGUCUAAAUGGUGACACUCAUCAUGUGUAUAUACUUUAACUUAGUAUUUUUAUAUUAACAAUGACAUAAAUAGGUAAUUUAGAAUCAUAUAUUAGUUUACUUUUUGACAUUUUUGUAUGAUGCACAUGAAGAUAAUUAGAUUAAGAUUUAGGUGUUUAAUUUAGGUUAUUUUUAAUAACAACAUACGUGGGUAAUAUAGAUAAAAUUUUAGAAUGACAUUUUAAGUUAUCAUUUAUAAUGAUAUGUAUUAUUAUAAUGAUAUGUAUUAUUAUAAUGAUAUGUAUUAGUAAAUUGGAUGAAGAUUAUGGGGUUACUUUAUAUUUUUUAUAGUAGCUGAGCUCCGUAAUUUAGAUAUAGGUUUAGAGCUUAUUUUUGAAUAUUUUCGCAAUGACAGUGGUGGGUAACUUUUCAAAAAAUAUAAUAGAUCAAUGGCUAUGAUUAUUAGAGUUUACAGGAUUGGUAUUUGAUGUUUUAAUUUUUAUAAGAAUUUGUCUCUUUUUUCUAACUUGUCAUAGAAAUCUAUACUCUCAUCACUUCCUCUAUAUCUGUAUAAAUGGUGACACACAUCAUGCGUAUAGAACUUGAUUAUUAUAUCAUAUACCAAUAGUGCAAGAUAUAGACGAUUUAGAAUCAUAUAUUGCUAUAUAUUUUUAAUUAAGGUUAUUUGAUUCAAAGUGUAGGGUUAUCAUGUUAUUUUUAAUAAUGGCAUGUGUGGGUAAUAUAGAUGUAAAUUUAACGGGUUACUUUAAGUUAAUAAUAGUGGUGGGCAAUUCGGUUGCAAAUUAGGGGGUUAUUUUAAAUAUUGUUUAUAAUGGCAUAAGUGGGUAAUUUUGAUGAAGAUUAGGGGGUUACUUUAGCUGAUUUUAUAUAAUAGCAGAUGUGGGUAAUAAAUAUAUAGAUUUAGGGGUUACUUUAAGCUAUUUUCAUAAUGGUAUAGGUGGGUAAUUUUUUAGAAAACAUAAUGGAUCCAAUGGCUAUGAUGAUUUGAAUCUAUUGAUUGAUGGUCGGAUGUUUUGCUUUUUUGUGAGAAUUUGAUUUCUCUCUUUUUCUAGAAUGUCCACCUAGAAAUCCUAGGUGGCUUCACUGGAGGCUUCAAAAGGAGCCUCCAAUUAGUAAUAGAGGACAAAGUUAGUAAAAAAUAGCAGGGACUGAACUACGAGACAUGGACACAGUUAGAUUCAUACCAUGGUUUUUAUAUACUCAGAAAGACAGAACUUGAAAGCGUUGUAGGUGAAUGAGUAUAUGCUUUUUGACAGGACACCUCAUGCAGAUCAUUAGAUCGAAUUCAGUACACUCACAUCAUCAUGUUCCAACAGAAAGACCUCAUGUGUAAUCAUGUGGCUCUCCUAUUUCAAACAUCGAGUUUCAUCAUGGACCAUUUAAGUAGUACAAAAGAUUAAGUUGACAGGGAAAGGCACCUUUUGUGUCCUAAGCGUGGCUCGCUAAUUAAUCUUGUGGUUCUGCUGGAACCAAAAUUUGGAGAAGUGCCUGCCUUUGCCUACCUGCAACGCACUCUUGCUUGUACAUGGAGUUUGUAUAUUCAGUAGGCUUGGUCCGCUGAAGUAGUGAAUGCUCCGGUCACCUAUGGCUGCAGUAUAUGCCAGUAUAUACAUGCGAGGUCCGUGGCCAGUGGGGAGUAUCGCACUAGAUUCAGGCGAGCAGUAAGCUCAUCUGUCAUCAGUGCUCUUGUUGCUUUGCUCCAAAGUCCAACCUCAGCACCUGCUUGGUUGCAGGCCGGCAUGGCAAAACUUGCAGCGCAUCUGAGGGGAAAAAUUAAUCUUUAGUUUUUUAAAUAAUAUUGUUAUAAUGGUAUCACCUAGAACUUAUUGAUCGAUUAUGCCCGUGCAUUAUUCCACACAUGACACAUGGAGGUCGAUAAGAGGCUCAGCACAUGCAUGUUGAGAUCAGGUCGAGGGGAGGUCCUCUUCCAGGCAGCGUGCAUGGAGGAUCCAAGGACCAAGGGUCACAUCAACGAUGAUGUCAUCUAGAGGAGGAAGAUGAGAAGCUAGCUAGUAUCAACCCAUGGAUGGUGAUUCAUUUCUUGUGGACGCCUAUUACUCAUGAUUGAUUUGUUGGAUCUUUCAUAGGUUACCAUCGAGGAUAGGAUAUUUCGGCAUUUGCUUGAGAUAUAUACGCUCAGGGUUCACACAUCCAAAUCUAGUAUGUUUAGACAUUCGAAUUAGAUUUAACAUAUAUGGAACGUCUUAUUGUAAUCGUUUAUUUGGAUCUUUUAGAUUGUUUAUGCGUGAACCGUACUGUCUGUGAGCAUUCGCGUACUUAUACAACUGACAUGCAGUCAGCCAUCACCUUUGUUGGCCACGGCUACGGCACAGUCGUCAGUCAACGAAGCAUCGGUGGGCCUGUCGGGUCGACAAUUGCCUCUCGUGCCAUGCCAACGCAACACAGGCAAGUUCCGUGGAGAGUCAUGGCUCAGUGGUUGCUACUAGCUAGAUCUGCAAUUUCUACAUUUUAUUAGCACCUGUUUCUUUCUGCAAUUGUUUAGCGGUUACGAAACAAUGUUAUUAAAGAAAUCUAGGCCUCUGGCCUUGUCGGCCCAUGGGCCAUGGCAGGCCUGCUGCGCAGCAGCAAGUCAGCAACAUGGAUAUCGAUCAAUUAUUCAGAGGGGCUAGCUACAGGAGUCGGAGGGCGACUUCGAGGCAAUUCCGGAUUCGCCGUCGAGCUGGCCGGCGCCUACCCUUCCGGCGGCGUCCUGACGCCGUAGGGAAGGUGUGCUUGGUCCUCGACGGCGGCUCCUCCGUGGAUUAGCUAGUAUAUUAUAGCUAGUGCUAUCGUAGUUGUCCGAUGGCAUCUACACAGAUGUCCAUUGUUUUAUCCUCCCUCCAGGUGAUCUACGGCAACGACUGCUCCAGCAGCUCGCUCUCUGGUGUUCCCUCUGUGAGGUAUGUCUACCACUUAUCCAAGGAAUCGGGUUGGUGGUGUUCUGCUGUCCGCUUAGGAGGUUCGAUCCCCUUUUGGGUUGUUUCGUCGUCGGAGGUUCUUGCGAUGCAUGCUUGAUGUGUCAGAUUCCAUCACCAUCGGCGAUGCAGGGCCUGUCCGUUCAACGCUUCAAAUGCAUAUCGAGUUUUUGAUAUGUUGUUUGUUGUGCCGUUUAAAAACUACAAAGCUUCUUUGCAAGCUUCUUUGUCGAGAAAGGUGUCGGCUUCAAGCUGCAAACUUGGUGAGUUCCUCUGCUACUUCGUGCAGCGGUGGUUCGUCGAGUGGCCUACCCGAUCGCCGAUGAUGAAAACGACCGGAGACUCUUGCAAGAGCCUGAUUGUAAUUUUUAUUUUCCUCGAGGGUGUUUUUGUGAGGGAUCCAACUGUGUGUGUGUGUGAAAUAAAAACACGGUUCCUCUAAAAAAAAGCAACAUGGAUGGACGCGUUUCAUUUUUGAACGAACAACACAUCUGACAUGGGUGGAGCGAUACAUGUUAACGGAAUCGGCGGAAUGGGAUAACUGGCCAAGUAAUUUUGUUCAUUACAAGCUUGCCCGUCCUCAGUUGAAUAAUCCAAUUAGCCACAAUUUCAUAACUGAAUGUGUAAAUUCUAACAAUGUGUAAAUGGCAAUGACCAGAUAAUUUUUUUUGCAUAAUACGUCACAAACUAUAAUUGUAUAUAUGGAUUUUGCCUUGUGCAGAGAAGAAUCUAUAUUUGUGUGUUUCAGUACAAUAUUGUGACUGAUAAACAAGUUUCUUUACAUCUAUUUAUUAUGAGAGAUUGGAGAGAGAGAGACGGCGAUAUUUCCGACGGUAGAUUUAAUGGCCAGCUUACCUAGCUAUAUGAUCAACCUCUAAUUACAUUUCUUAACAGGAAGCGCAAAAAUUACAUACCAAAGCUUUAAAGAGAGAAUGGCUGGGCGUGCACACACGAAGAAAAAGCAACCUGCAUACAAAAAAUUUUUACAGCAGCCAUGCAGCAGCCCCAACCACGCACAGUGGAUCUCAAUUUUAAAUUGCCUCAACCAGCAUGAUCUGUCAUCUCUAGACUCACCGUUCUCCGAAGAGGAAAUUAAUCAAUCAAUCCUUAGUAUGCCAGGGGAUAAAGCCCCUGGUCCAGACGGGUUUACGGGGCUAUUCCUAAAAUCAUGCUGGAACACCAUAAAACAGGACGUCAUGGCAGCAAUAAAUGCGUUCUACUGUCUCCGAUGCAACAGCCUCCAGCUAAUUAACACAGCUACCAUCAUACUCAUCCCGAAGAAAGAGGGGGCGAAUGUCGUGCAGGACUUCAGGCCUAUAAGCCUCAUUCACUCGUUCAUCAAGAUCAUCACGAAGGCUAUGGCACUGAGAUUACAACCCACAUGAAUGCAAUUGUCUCCAAAUGCCAAAGCGCGUUCAUUAAGACGCGGAGUAUCCAUGACAACUUUAUGAUAGUGCGAAGUACAGCAAGAAGAUAUCGUAGAAACAAAGUGUUGGCUAUUUUCCUCAAAUUGGGCAUCGCUAAAGCCUUCGACUCCAUACGAUGGGACUACCUUCUCCUACUUCUGCGUCACUUGGGAUUCCCCGCUCGCUGGUGCGAUUGGACUGCGACCAUUCUAUCUACUUCUUUCUCACGCGUCCUCCUAAAUGGCGUCCCGAACCCACCAAUAAAACAUGGUCGUGGGUUGAGGCAAGGCGACCCAUUAUCACCGCUGCUAUUCGUUAUAGCGAUCGAUCCCCUACAAAGAAUCCUGCAAUUAGCGACAGAUAUGAACAUCCUUACCAGACUACGCAGAAGGGCGCCCUCAUGCUAUAUUUCGAUGUACGCGGACGAUGCGGCAUUAUUCAUAGCACCAAGAAAAGAGGAAAUUGAUGCACUAACUAACAUCUUGGAAAAUUUUGGGGAAGCAACAGGUCUCAAAAUAAACUUUCUCAAAAUAAACUUCCGCAAAUCGACUAUCGUCCCCAUCUGUUGCGAAGGCGUGCAAUUGAAUGUGGUACUGGAAAAUCUACCGGUGAGGAGGGGAGCCUUCCCGAUCAAAUACCUUGGGCUACCACUGUCCACACUGCGAGUGAAAGUUGUAGAUUUCCAACCCUUGUUAGAUAAGGUCGUGGCCAAGUUAAAUAGUUGGAGUAGUAGAAACAUGACGACAGCUGGGAGACUCACUUUGGUCAAAUCGGUACUAACUGCUCAGCCUGUUUACCUAUUGUCGGCCCUCAAAGCGCCCAAAGAGAUACUAAAGAUUAUCGAUACUAAGCGAAGAAAAUUCCUAUGGGCGGGGACGGAGCCGCUCACAGGCGGCAAAUGCAAAGUGAAUUGGACGCGGUCUGCAAGGCCUAGGAGGAGAGGAGGGCUAGGUGUGUUACACCUCGAAAAAUUCUCCAGGGCCUUGCGGUUACGGUGGCUCUGGCAGGACUGGAUGAACGAUGGAUCUUCCUGGGAGAGCCAGGACAUCCCUUGCUCCCAAACGGACCGCAAACUCUUUGUGGCGGUAACCAAGAUCAUAGUGGGAGACGGCAACAAGAUUUCCUUCUGGGACAGCGGCUGGGUAAGUGGACAAAGACCAAGGGACAUUGCGCCAAAUCUAUAUCAUAUCUCCAGAAGUAAGAACAGGACACUAUAUGAUGCAGUCACAAAUCGCACGUGGAUAAGAGAUUUAAACCUUUUUCAUCAAGGAUUUACUGCCACAUAUUUCACUGAGUACUACCGACUAUGGGUUGAGACCAACCGCCUGCACCUCACGCCAGGUAUCCCAGACACCAUCACAUGGAAAUUCACGCCUAAUGGGAAGUAUAGCACACAAUCAGCAUACAGAGUACAAUUCAUAGGAUCCAUGACAACUAAUCUCGAGAAUCUAAUCUGGAAAAUAUGGGUGCCACCAAAGUGCAAAUUCUUCAGCUGGUUGGCCGUGCAAGAUAGAAUUUGGACAGCGGACAGACUCCAGCAUCGGGGAUGGACCAGUAACCUAACUUGCGCCCUUUGCAGCACGGCGUAGGAGACAGGGUAUCAUCUUUUCGCCGAUUGCAGUUUCACACGGCUAAUUUGGACGGAAAUUAACAUAUGGACGCAAUGCCCUAACGUUGAUCCAAGCCGUUGGGAUAGGCACGACUCUAUACAUAAUUGGUGGAGAGCUACGCUGGCUAGCCCGAUGGUCGGGGGGAAAGGGUUGCGGACCCUCAUUAUCCUCGUUCUUUGGGAGAUCUGGCUAGAGAGAAAUCGGAGGGUCUUCCAACAUAAAGACAAGAUGGUUACCCAGAUAACCGACGACAUCAAGAACCAAGCUGCGAUGUGGAUCGCUGCGGGAGCUAAAUACUUGGGGGACUUUCUCUCAGGAUAGGCGUCCGUUUUGUACUAGUUGUCAUAGCGGAGUUCUGCCUUCCCGUUUUGGGGAUGCGAGUGUACAGCUUGUAUAGUACGUUUGUAUACGACCCAUCAGGUUUUUCCUCUCUUUUAAUAUAGCAGGAGCUCUCCUGCUGGCUCGUUUCAAAAAAAAAACUUGGUAGUAAUUAAGCUCUACGCUCAUCUUUCUUUACUGCUUUGCUACAAAGUACUUGAUCCCCGGCCGCGCUCAAAACUUCUGCAGAAAUGGAAGAAGAGAACCACUGUGUUGUGCAGCUUCUAGUUUUACAGUAUAGAGACCUUACUCUUUUUCUUUCAUGCAAUAUGUUACGCUUGUUUGGGAUGAUGAAUUGAUGAUGAGUUGACAUAACAGAUACAGCCUGCUCCUUGCAAUGCCAAAGACGUCGUGCUCGUCCACAGGCCACAAGCUAUACCUCCACUAUUUAAACAAAGAAUAAGAUGCCUUCAUUCUCGUGUCCUGGAGAGCUACCACUAAAUUUGUUCGGAUAGAAAACCAAAAUUCAGGACCUAUAUAUCACAAAUUAAAACAUUCCAUCUUGUGAUUUACUUAACCAUGCAUAGCUCCUAAUACCACGUAGAGCUGUGAACAUAUUGUCUCACUACUACAGUAUCUUUGUAGCAUUCUUGUCAUAAUGAGUUGCCGCUUGCACGCUUAGUGAAAAAGAAUUGGUUGUUGCAACAAAUUCCUAGAAUAAUGCCUAUUUAUAACGGGACCGACCAGAUCUCUCCAUUGAAGGCAAAAUAAAUCCAUGCCAAUGCUCAAAUGUGAUGAAUCCUAACGCAGAGCCUUUGCUAGCGCGACUGGAAGGUUCAAGCUUUCUCAUUCUGUCAUUCACAUAUGUAAUAAAAAAGAAUUGAAGAAGAAAGUUAACAUCGAACUGGAGACUCGUGAUGAGCAUGUUAGCUAGCUAGAUGGACCAUCUCAUGUCAUGCCCACUCCAUUUCAAACUCUAGAUGGUGUGGGUACCUUUACUUAGAGCAUCCAGUUCAUCCAAGUAGUAUGCCUUUCACGUACACCUGAGAGAUGAGGCUCUUCACCUUAGUCACAUGAUCUUCUGUUUACUGCACACCAUUUUCACCACCUUUUUCCCCUUCCCUUCCCAUCCAUAUGUUCUUGGUUUCUCCCUGUUUAGCACCAAACCUCACAUCUCUGCAAAAAGAAGAAGAUACACAUAUUUACCUAACCUUCUCUCUAAGUUGCAUUGCAUCAGCCACUACACGGCCAUCGCACAUCGUUAAUCCGUAGCGACGACCGAGAGGAAGGUACCCUCCUUACAUUUUGUUCCUUCUCCUUCCUCGAGCAUUUUUUCCUCGAAUGAAUGAAUUCGUCGGAGCACUUUCCACUUCAUCGCCCACUGUCGCUCCUCAACACCAUGGCCAUCUACCGCGCUACCACCAACCACUUCUGCCACCCCCACGACCAAUGGCACCUCCGCUACCGAACUCGGCACCUCGCCACCCACCAAACUACUCUAGUGUCCUCCUCCCCCAUCGCUGGCACAGGCCACUAGGCGCGUCCUUGCCGCCCGGCAACCUGCCACCACCACCACCAGCAGCACCCACCGCGCCCCAGGCUCCCACUCUAGUCUACGAAAUCAACCUCUAUAACCCUCCAACCUCUCGGAUACCCUAACCCCUCUCUUCUUCUGAUGUUGCAUGCUUCCGGCAGCAUCACGACAAUGCGAUGCGUCUAGGAAUUGGUACUGCAUGGCCUCACACAAUCAAAGGACAAAGGUCAUAUUUGUCCCCAUGUGCACGCAAGACUCUUCACGUACGUACCUGCAUGAUUUUCUAUGCAUUACGUUACAACUCACGCAUUUUUUACCGCUUCCCCUCCUUUCCCCAUCCUAUCCGCUGAAUUCACCCCCUCUAGCACCAAACCCUACCCUUAGCAUUUCCCUCUCAAGAAAAAGCACACCAUUACCGUGCCCGUUCGAUGCAGAUAGGAGGGCGUAGGCCGUGCCCGGCCUCAUCAGCAAUACAGAGUUACAGACACUGACCAGUGGGACCCAUCCCAUCAGUUUUGAAAAGGGAAAGAAAAAAGUGGGGAGAGAAGCCAGACACACGGAACGAAGCGUCCAGGCCCCUAGCGGCGUUCGGACUGGCAGAGGAAGGAAAGCCCCCCACCAACCCAAGCCACGGCCGCCACCCGGCAGCCACAGCGCGAACCUCCGAGCUGCCGCCCACACACAGCCCACUGUGCUGAUGCCUCCCCUGCACUUGUUGUAGACUUGUAGUGCAAUAAAGCAGCGGAGUGAGAGAAACCCCCACGCCCCCUGCGCGUUUCGGUCUCGCCUCGGCCGCAACGCAACGAGGAAAACCCCAACCCCCCGGCGCCGUCGCCCACGCCCCCGCCCCCGCCCCCGCCGGCGCGCCGUAGGGUUUCCGUCCCCCCCCCCCCCCCAUCGCCUCGCCGACGGCGAUCACCGGCGCGCAAGGUACGCGCCUCUCUCCGCCCCGGCCCGUUCCGCCCCCCAUUUCCGCGCUUCGUUGUCACGCCUCGUUCCGCGCCGCCGCCAUUCGCGCAGGGCAGGGGCAUUGUGGCGCUUCCUCUGCUCCUGGCCCCGGAACGCUCGCCCGCCCUCUCCGCGCGGGCGGGGCUCGCUUCUCCCGGAAAAAAAGGCCGCCUUUUUUUGGGUUCUUUGUUUGGUUCGCGGCGAGGGCUUUGUGAGCCCGUGCGCCCCCGCUGCCAUCAGCGCGUGGUGGUUCUUGGUUUUGCGAGCCUUGUCGUGGGCUCAAAGGGGACGCUGGGUCACUCCGCCCCUGCUCUUGUGCUUGUGCCCGUCUGAUGUCCAGGGUUGGGUUUCGUGCUUCUACUGGUGCGGGCGGCGGCGAAUUCUUGGGGUUUUGAUGGCGGCGCCGUGAUCGCGGAUUGCGACGUGGGUUUUGGGGGGCCUCGUUUGGGUGGGGAUCCCCCGUUUGGAUUUCUAUUUCUGGUUCCCACGGUGAUGCAGGGUUGUGUGAUGUGUGGUGGACCUGCCUGCACGAAUCGCGAUAAGAAAAAGACUGCCGGGGGGGUGGGGGGGGUGGGGGACUGUUGUAAUAAAUUGUUGAUUCUUUUGCUCGAUUGCUGUGCCAGAAAGGUGCUCCGUUUCGAUGGAAUUCUGUGAAAUGGAUGCCCGAUAUAUCAUUGCAUUUUCGAUUCUUUAAAGGUUGUGUUUUUGCGCACGUGGUUGUCUGAGAAAUAUAUGUGAUUUCUGAUUUGGGUGCUUCUUGCUGAAUGCCUAGUGGAGGCCUGGGUGCACAUCUCAUACUAAAUUAUCCUCUGACUCAGAAACUGUUGAAGGUCGUUCUGUUGCAGGAUUGCGUCUGCCUCAAAUAUUGUUUGUGAUUUUGUUGCUUGUGGCAGAAUGCCAUGUGGAUGAACAUGCUCUGCUUUCUGAUCUUCUGAUUUUAUGAUUACACAUUUCUGUUAUGACUUUGCUGACUACUCUGUUUCCCUUUCCAUUGUAAAGGCCGGGGUUUUGUUGACAGUGAGUGGCGGCUGCCUGUUGUUUGGCGAUGGGGAAACUGCAAGCGGAUGGUGAUCAAUCACCUGAUGUCGCAGAUAUUGACAUGAUGGAUUUCCUGAAUUUGGAUGGCGAUGGAGAAGGUGACUCCCCCAGAAAGGACAGCACAAAAGGGGACCGGCAGCCUUCUGUCGAUGCUGAUGUGGAUCAGUUUGCCAUGGAUGUAGAUUUGGAAGGACUGCCAUCUGUGCAAGAUCAAGGGAAAGAAAAGCAGUCUGCUGCUAUGGAUGUCGAUAUAACAGGAAUACCACCUGUGGAAGAUGAAAGGCAGUCUUCUCUAGACCUAAGCACGUUAGUCCCAGUUGACUUCAAUGUUGCAAGCCUGGAGAAAUUUUGCAAUGAAGCGUCAAGAUCAUUCUUCAGUGAGACUGGACUGGUUAGCCACCAGAUAAAUUCGUAUAACGAUUUUGUCUCUCAUGGGCUCCAGGAUCUCCUUGAUUCUUUUGGGGAAGUUACUGUAGAGCCUGAUUAUGACCCUUCAAAUAAACCUUCAAAUAAAGAUGGUGCUUGGAAACAUGCAACUAUCAAAUUUGGUAAAGUUAAACUUGAGGAGCCAGUGUUCAGGGUUGAAAACAGUGAUCUUGAAGUGCAAGAUCUCAAGUUGAAGCCUAGACAUGCUCUCCUCCAGAAGAUGACAUAUUCAUCCAGGAUGAAUGUAGAAAUAACUGUUCAGGUCAGGAUGCUCCUAGUUCCCCUGUUCAUGUUACAUAUCAAGUAACAAAGUAGGGGUGAAGUACAUUGUACUUGGUUGGAAAGAACUUCACUAUAAAGAAAUGGAAAUGAAAUAUUAUGUCAUAGAAAGUUCAAAAAAAUCAUUCCAGCCAUUCCAAAUAGCUAUCUUAUUUUCAUCACUAGUAUGGAUGUUAGUGUAAUGAUUUCAGCAAUUCUGGAAUUGCAUUUUUUUUAAUUUCACAAAUGGCAUGGAAGUUAGCAAGGCUAAGCUCCUUCUGGAGCUCAUGUUUAACUUUGCUUUUAAUGGCACAACAGCCAUAACAAUGUCAAUUAUGAUUUCCCCAUUACCUUGCCUGCAAAACUUAUAUAGACUCUGCAUUGGGUGUUGCUACUGCACUAUAUCUUGGCAUUCUAUUUGUAGUAUGGCCAUGUUGAACUUAAGGAAACAAAACCACUUAGUUUCCUCUCUUUGUGUCCUGAGCAGCAUAUGUGAUUUAAAAUUACUCUCAUAUGUAUUCAAGUUAUAACCUUGAUAUUUGUAUCAAUAAGAUUUUAGCUGAUAUUUUACCACCUGAUCAGUUAGUGUUUUGUCUUUAUCAGGUUUAUACAGUCGACAAAAUUGAUAAAGCCAAAACUGGUAAUGCUAUGCAUGUUUCUAGAAGAGAUAUAAUGAAAGAAACUAAACAGGUCAGCAUUGGAAUGUUACCCGUCAUGGUGAAGUCAAAUUUGUGCUGGCUGCAUAAACUUCAGGAAAGUGAGUGUCAGUUUGAUUCUGGUGGCUACUUUUUGAUCAAAGGGACGGAAAAGGUACUGCCUCACAUGAUCCGUUCUGUUCGUUGAGUUCUCAGAAAAUGCAUUCACAAAGAUCGUUACAUUAUGCAUUCUUAUGGAUUUCAAUGGCACUUUGAAUAUAAUAUAUGUCAGGUGAGACGUGCAAUAUAAAAUAUAUUUAGAAGGAGUGAAGAACAUAAAAAGUUUAUCACUCAUAUAAUAUGAGCGACUACUCUUUAUGGUGUUGCUAUGCAAUUGCACUAAAUGUAUAGUACAUUGAUCACCUUUCCUGAAUAGUUUAAGCUUCGGCCUUUCGUGAACUUGUUAGUGCAUGAAACUUAAUAUGAUGCCAGAGCCAAAGGCCUUGCAUUUGAGACCUGGCUGUUGCGAUUUUCACAAAAGGUAACUGCAGCUCACUUCUAUCUAGUCCGCACCAUAGGCUUGAGUGAACCUAACCAAGAGGGAAGUUAAGUAUAUUUGCUUACCUUUCCCAAUACUUAAGGGAAGGUAGGCUGGAAGGGAUAGAUGAGUGGAGACUGUCCCAUUCCAUACAUAUGUUUCGUGAAAAAUUCAGUUUAACUUAAAUGGAACUUGUGAAUUCCUGGUAAGUGUUGAUACAUACUGUAAGCAUAGCGCGAAGUUCAACUGAAAUAUUUAUGUUGUAGCCUAGUAGAUCAAUGAACCAUAGUUAUGCGUGGAAAUUAUACUUGACAAGAAAUUGUGAAACUGACAUUAGCAUUGAAGAUUAGAAAGUUGUUACCUAUGUGAUUUUAAUUAUUAAAAAUGUUUGAUACCUCAUUAUGUUUGAUUUCUUCCAAUUCUGUAGGUAUUCAUUGCUGAAGAGCAGAGAUGUUUAUCCAGGAUUUGGAUCUCAGAUCGACCCAGCUUGGAUGCAAGUUACCUGAGUGUAAUCAAACGAGAAAAGAUCCAUGUAAAACUUGUUCAGUCUAAAAGGAAUGAAAACCGCAAAGUCAUCAACAUUUCCUUUCUGGGUGCGGUUAUGCCAAUCUGGGUAGUGUUUUUUGCACUAGGUGUGUCAUCAGAUAAGGAAGCUUUUGAUAUGAUUGAUAUACAGGACUGUGAUGCUUCUUUGCUCAACAUAAUAUCAUCAACUGUGAAAGAAUCUCAUGAAGAAUGUGAAGGCUUUCGCGCUCCCGGUAGAGCUCGUCAGUAUGUUGAUAAGCUGAUCAGAAAAACAAAGUUUCCACCAGAAGAAUCCUUUGAUGAAUAUGUUUCCAAGUAUAUGUUUCCUGAUGUCAAAGGGACUAGGAGCAAGGCAAUUUUCUUGGGCUACAUGGUCAAAUGCCUGCUAAUGGCUUACUCUGGCAAUCGAAAAUGUGAUAAUAAGGAUGAUUUCCGUAACAAGAGGCUAGAUCUUGCCUGCCAGUUGCUUCGGAGAGAAAUCUGGUUGCAUAUUAAUUCUAUACAAAGACGCAUGGUUAAGCUCAUGCAGAGAGAUUUGAGCUCUGAUGGGAACUUACAAGAUCUUAGGCGUUAUGUGGAUGCAUCAAUUGUUACCAAUGGUUUGAACCGGGCUUUCUCCACUGGUUCCUGGCGGCAUCCUUAUAAAUCAGAAAGGUGUUCAGGGGUUGUAGCAACCCUUCGGAGAGCAAAUCCACUUCAAAUGAUGUCUGACUUGAGGAAGACUCGACAGUGGUUUGCAUAUUCUGGAACAACUGGAGAUGCGAGAUAUCCGUAAGUUUCCUGUGUCCUUCCUACAAUAUUCGAUGCAUACCUUCUCUCUACCUUUCCUAAUAUCCCCGUGCAAACUGACUUUCCUUUUGCAGGAAUCCAUCCUACUGGGGAAAAUUGUGUUUUUUGUCCACCCCUGAUGGUGAAAAAUGUGGAUUCGUGAAAAACCUUGCUGUUACUGCUAUGGUUAGCUCUGCAGUGAAGAAACAACUGUGCAUUGAUACAUUUGUUUCUUGUGGAAUGAAGAAACUGGAUGAUAAAAUUCCUCUACAAGAUAUUUCUGGGAAAGACAGGAUUUUCUUGAAUGGGAACCUGCUUGGAGUGUGUGCAGACCCAGGCGAUUUGGUUUCACGUUUAAGAAGCUUGAGGCGUAGCAAACUAAUUGAGCCACAGGUUGCUUAGUUUCCAGAUCUUCUAAACUGAUUCUCAAUAUCUCAGUUUUCAGAUACCGGAUCAUGUUUUGCUUCCAUUCAUGAUGUUUGAAAACUUUCUCUGAAACCUUGUGUUGUCAUGGCUCACAAGUCCUGCCAUGAUAGGUUUUGCCGCUUAAUAAGUCCUUGAAUACUGAAAAUUAUUUCUUCGGUAUAGUUGUGCUCCUUCAUCAUCUCUGCUGACUUAAAAUUUGCGAAGAAUAUUAACAGCUAACCUUUGAAAUUGUAUGUAUUUUAACUAUCUCGUGAUGAGUCAUUGGUACUAUUCCAGUCUUCUCUUGCUUGUUAGUUUUCCUUUACCUGGUACUUCUGAAAUUUCAUGCUAAUGAAAUUAUGAACUUCUCUUGCUUUAUUUCCUUAUUAUGCAUUUGGCAUAUGGUUGUUUUGUUACAUGUACUAUUUCUACUUGAGUGGAAUACUUAAAAGUACAUAUGUUGCAACAAGAUGAUACUAAUAUGGUUCUUUUUUCUAUUUUCUUUUUUUUUUUACUUUGAUUAGGUUGAAAUCAAAAGGGAUAGGCACCACAAAGAAAUUCGUGUAUUUUCUGAUCCCGGGAGAAUUCUAAGACCACUUCUUGUAGUUGAAAAUCUAAGAAGAAUCACAAGACCCAAAGCUGGAUUGUACUCAUUUCAGGAACUUAUGCAUCAAAAUAUAAUUGAGCUGAUUGGUGUUGAAGAAGAGGAGGAUAUCCGAUGUGCUCCUGGAAUUAGGCAUCUAUUCACAAGGGAGAAAGAAGAGGGGCCUUCUGACUAUACUCAUUGUGAACUUGAUCCUUCUUUCUUGCUGGGGUUGAGUUGCAGUCUCAUUCCCUUUGCCAACCAUGAUAAUGCUAGGAGGGUUCUGAUGCAAGCAGAAAAAUUAUCGCAGCAGGCUAUUGGCUACUUGCCUACAAACUCACGCUCUAGAUUUGAUACCCUCUCACAAAUCUUCUAUCCACAGAGACCUUUGUUUAAAACUGUGGUGGCAGACUGUCUUGGAAAGCCAGACUACAGCUUUGGACGAAAAGGUGACUUUACUACACCAGAAUAUUUCAAUGGUCAAAACGCAAUAGUCUCCGUCAACGUUCAUCAGGGAUUUAACCAAGAAGAUUCUCUGGUUUUGAAUAGGGCCUCUCUAGAGCGUGGCAUGUUUCGUACACUACAUUUCAAGAGCUAUAAAGCCCAUGUCGAAAACAAAGAGAUCACCAGACGACUCAAACACAAGGAAAAGAUCAGUUUUGGUAAAGUGCAAAGCAAGAGGGGGAAGGUUGACAGUCUGGACAAUGAGGGUUUACCAUAUGUUGGAGCAAGUCUUCAAAGUGGUGACAUUGUCAUUGGGAAGGUCACAGAAUCUGGUGAAGAUCAUAGUCUUAAACUGAUGCAUACUGAGAAAGGGAUGGUAGAGAAGGUACUUCUCUCAGCAAAUGAUGAUGGGAUGAACUUUGCAACUGUUACUCUAAGACAGGUGAGUAAUAUAAAUCUUUGCAAAAGUAUUCUGCAUUGUUUCUUGUGGCCCUUGUUUGCAUGCAGUGGCAUUCACCUUACACUUACAGUACAGUAGAGCAUGAAAUUCUCUGCUACCUGGCUGGCUUGCCUUAUCUAAACAAUAAUUUCAGAAAAAAUCUUUAUUAUAGGUGGUCUACAUUUUUUUGUCUGGAUUAUUUAGUGCUCUGAUAUCACCUCAGCUGUCGAUACUACAUAAAGCAUUUCUUUUUUCUUUUGCACCAUUUAAUAAUGCUUAUGCUAUUACGCUACAAAACUUUGUAUUUAAUGCCCACAUGUCUAGUGAUUUAUCUGAUAAUUUUUGUAGUCUCGUUCACCAUGCGUCGGAGACAAGUUUGCCAGCAUGCAUGGGCAGAAAGGAGUGGUUGGCCUAUUGGACUCUCAGGAGAACUUCCCAUUUACUUGCCAAGGGAUAGUUCCGGACAUCGUCAUAAACCCACAUGGCUUUCCAACUCGUCAAACUCCUGGCCAGUUGCUUGAAGCUGCUUUGGGGAAGGGGAUUGCCCUGGGUGGGAAGGUGAGAUAUGCGACACCGUUCACCACUCCAUCCGUGGACGUGAUCACUGAACAGUUACACAAGUAAGCUUUAUUUCAGACACGAUUCUUUUCUUAAAUUCACGUUUUGCGCUCUUGCACAUGUGAAAAUUGACAGCAUACUAGUAGCUGAUUGCGCAGCGUGACAUUUUCAGUGUCACCAUAAUUGCAAGUCCUUAUUUUUCCCUCACAACAAACUAUAAGAACAAGCAAUGCAUUCCCGUGAUAUAUUCAUCGAGGGAACGCGACAGAAGAAAUGCAGACAUGAGGCUUGUUACUGUUAGCCAUUUGAACACUCUUCUUGAGUUUUGUUCAUGUUUAUCUUGCUGUAUUUCAGGGCCGGUUUUUCAAUGUGGGGUGGAGAGAGCGUCCUGAACGGGCAGACCGGUGAGCGGAUGAAAUCACUGGUCUUCAUCGGGCCGACGUUCUACCAGAGGCUCAUCCACAUGUCCGAGGACAAGGUGAAGUUCCGCAACACAGGACCUGUGCACCCGCUCACGCGGCAGCCGGUGGAGGACAAGAAGCGGUUCGGUGGCGUCAAGUUUGGGGAGAUGGAGCGAGACUGCCUCCUUGGCCACGGUGCUGCUGCCAGCCUCCACGAGCGCCUGUUCAUGCUAAGCGACUUCUCACAGAUGCACAUCUGCCAGGCCUGCGAGCGCGUGGCCAACGUUAUCAUGCGCCCCGACGACUGUGGCAAGAAGGUGCACGGCCCCUACUGCCUCUUCUGCCGGUCCGCAGAGCGCAUCGUCCGAAUCAAUGUGCCUUAUGGAGCCAAGCUGCUGUACCAGGAGCUCUUCAGCAUGGGAAUCUGCCUCAAGUUUGAGACCGAGGUCCGCUAGAACGCCAUUGAUCAGUAUCAUAUCUCUUGAAACUGUAAAACUGCAUAUGUAAGCUUCGUUGCCUAGGAUAUUGUUGAUUCUAAAGUCGAUUGAAGUUGGAUCGUAUGUGGAUGGCUAAUGUUGAGACCUGCGCUUUCUUCAAAAAAAAAAAUGUUGAGACCUGCGAUUCGCGUUACGAUUUCGUGAUAUUUAGACCAGAUUCAGGAACUGUCGUGAAAUGGAAUUUGGCAUCCUUGUUUGUGAUGUGGAUAUGUGCUACAGGAAUUUCUGUUCUUGCAGCCUGGAGCCUGUGAAGCUUCACAUGAGAUCCAUGCGUCAUUUAUCUGAUUUUCACAUCCAUGUUGCAAUAGCAGUAGGUGACUGCAUGUGUCAUUGCCAAAAAGAAAAAAAAUAGCGGUCUGAAAACGUGCUGAUUCCUGUGGUAUGUGAAGUUGCCGCAAUUUAGAUGUAUGAGAACCGAGAAGUAACUCAAGGGCACAGCCAUACUUGUAUAAGUGAAAUUGGCACUACCUGUGCAUUCUCCUAACUUCGACAAUUUGCCAAAAGAGGUGUAGGCUUGUUAAUAUAGCUUUGAGUUUUCAUUGAAAAAUAGGAGUAACAUGCAAGCGACUAUGUGAAUGCCUGUGUUUGACAUCUUGCAAAAUAUCUAUAAGAACCAUAAUUUUGCACUAUUACAUGAAGAUGCUUCUUAUUGGCAAAUCUACUUUUAUCAAUAAUAUCCAGUAUUCUAGUCACAAACAAGCAAUGGUUUGCCUCUUUUGGUAUUAUUUUGGACUAAAAUAUUAACUUUGAACACUAUUUCACCUAUGUUUACAAAAUGUAUAAAAAUUUUGUCAAUAUAUGAAAGUAUUUUUUAUAGAUUAUAUUUGUUUAACAUUUGCAUUCACUACAAGAAACUAUUUAAUCUGUGACGGAACAAAUUUGUCACAUAUCACUGAAAAACCGUCAUAAAGCAUUGUCUGUGACGGUUUUAGAUAACGUCAUGUAUUGAGCGUCACAAUCUAUGACGUUUGUUAACCAUCAUAAAACGCCUUUAGGCCCACGUAGCCCAACCCAAGCCCAAUGUUAAUGACGAAAAUAAAUGUCAUAGAUGGUUGAUUCACCCAUAAGUGACAUGGACAUAGCGACUGACAUGGCUAGUGACAUGGAUAAUGAUGAUGAUAUGGCUGCUGACAUAGCUAAUGACGUGGCUGGUAACGAUGACGUGGGCAAUGACAUGGCUGAUGAUGUGGCAGGUGCCAAUGACGUGGACAAUGACGUGGGUGCUGAUGUGGACAAUGAUGUUUCAUUCGCGGCCAUUUUAGAACUGAGCCACUAAGAUGAGCCAAUUCCAGGCCAAUUUUCCAGCCCAUUGACCAAUAUAGCUCAGAAGACAUUCAAAAUUUAUCAACCAUUUUACCAGAAUUACAGCUUCAAAUCACAAGAAUUACAGCUUCAAAUUAGAUACAAUCUCAGAUUUACAUUCAUGGUAAUAGAAAUAGCAAAUUAUCAAAUUACAUUCAUGCUUCAUCUUUGGUUCCAGAAACAACACCCGCUAGCACUUUGGUUCCAGAAACAGCAGAAAAAGAAGCUGAAAUUCACAAAGAGAAGCAUGCAUUAGAAUGGUAAAAACACUGAAUUCUGAAUAAAGAAAGUGCACGGCCAGAUCAACACAAGUUCAAACAAAGGAGUAUGCAUGAUAAUAAUCAUAAUAUAAAUGUCUAAAUAAAGACGGAACAGUCUAACUACCAUAUCGAUGAUCAGAAUAUGGUCACAAUCAGAGCAGAAAAAAUAAACAAACCAAACAAAAAAGACAGUUCCUGCAAGAAGACAGUUCUUGCAACAAGUUGCUGGUUCAAUUUGACAACAGGACAUCAGAAGGAGUAUGGAAAACUAUGACGAUAGAACAGUAAUAAAUAUAUACUACUAUUAUUAAAUAAGCAAAUUGCUCUUCAGUGAUUGCACUAGAUGUGACCCUGGCCGAUAAUUAUGAUAAAAAUUUUAGCUUUAACUUACACAUUGAAAAGCUACGCUUUCUUCUUUUGAUGGGCUUUAUAGCCCAUCCAUGGUGAAGAGCAAACACCUGAGCAUAAGCUACUGAUGCUGCAUCACUAAGCAAGUUGCCCCUGAAAUAAUAAUACCACAAGUGAUCACAGUCAGUCUCUAAAUGCUCAUGCAAGGAAAACAAACAUGACAGUUAACUAGACAAAUAUACUAAUUACUGUAACAAGUAGAAAGGAAAAACAUUCAUGAAUAUUCAACCUAAAUAUUCAUGAAUAAUAUAUAUAUAUAUAUAUAUAUUGUUAAAUAUAACUGCAUACAUUCUAGAACAUCACUAAACUUCUACUCAUAAGUUGUAGAAUUUAGUGAUGGAUACAAGAUUGAAGACCUAAAUAUUUUACAUGGCUUCAUCCUAUAGUACCUCAUAUGCUUUUUCAAAAGGCCAAGUUUUCUAAAACCAUUCAAGAAUCUCAAUGAAUUUCCACUUAUACUCCUGUCUCCUCCCAAAUAAUAUGUAAUGAUAUAUGGGAAUUUUUUGGCCUUUAGACUUUGUAACUCAAUUUCCUUUCUUGUGAUACCUCUUAUAAAUAUCCGAUUACAAGGGGAUAUGCUUUGUUGGGUCUUACACCUAAUAGAUAUGGUGGAUCUAAAGUAUGAUACAUUUGCAUAUGAAUCAACAGCUUUCCUAAUUUGAAGCUUUGUAUAUGAAUCAAUUGAAUCUAAAAAUCAGGUUGAAUGUCCUGAAUUUGAAAGUUUGUUUGGAUUUCAACUAAGGUAUCAUUAUCAUGGAUGUAAAUUAGAAGUGUGUUAAAAAUUAGCUCUAAAUGGAUCUUUUGCUAUAUAGCACGAAUAUGAGUUGUUUUGAUUUUUUUUCUUUGACUCAUAAGUGAUAUCCAUGUUUAUAGUUUGCAGUGGGCACUCAUUGAGGAUUUAGUGCUCUCUUGUUGGACUAACAUAUGGUCCAAGGACGUACAUGAUGUCAGCUAGACUUGAGUGAGUCUCAAAUUCGUAACCUUGGACUACUUUUCUUUUCUCUAUGCACCCUUGUAAAAUGGUAAAGUAAAUACAUUGUCAUUUCCCCAUUGUAAGACUUGAGUCAUGGGUUCUCAACACGUUAAUAAAGUACAUCUUGUAGGACUUUUAUACACCUUGAGUAAAGUGAUUACAUAAUCAUUUCCUAAAUGGUAUAGUUGCCUUUUUGGUUUCUAGAUGAGUUGUAGAAUUGCUCCACCGAAGACCUACUAUACAUAACAUCCCUAAAAUUGGCAGUGUUUAAAUAUUAAUAAAUAUAUUAAACCUUGGUUAAUAAAACCUCUUCAUUUUCCAUUUCUCCAAUUCAAAAUUAGCUAAGGCAUUAUAAUAAAUUAUCCGAUUCUUAGUUGUCAAAAUCAAUACAAAUUAAACGCAUCCUCCUAAACGAACAGCCCUAUACAUUUCCUCUAAAGAAAUGUACAACUUAAUUAAGUAUAUAGGUGAAUAUUAGGUUCAAAUCCUUAUCACAAUCCGUCCCGUAUUAUUCAUCCUUAAAGAUGAAUUUACUUCUGUAUUCCCUCUCUACCCAAAUAAUAUGUAUUUGUAUAUGGGAAAUAUUAGCCUUUAGAGUCUAGACUUUAGUAACUUUCAUUCUUGUGGACGCCUAUUAUGCAUGAUUGAUUUUCGUGCCUAUGAUUUGUCGGAUCUUGCAUCAAAUAGGUAUGAUGGAACUAUGGUAUGAUUCUUUUGAAAGGGAGUUUCCUGAUUUGAAGCUUUUGUUUACGAAUCAGUUGCUUUUAAUCUUUGGGUUGAAGGUACUAAAUCUGAAAACUUGCUAGGAUUCAACUAACAUAGAUCUCAAUUUGAAGCUUUAUGAACAUCGUCUCCAAAUCAUGAAUAUGAACUGAAAGCUUGUUUCCUUGUCAUUUAUGAGUCUUAGAAUUGACUUUUUUUAACUUUAGGGGAGUCAAAAUAAUGUAUGACUAUCUUGAUCUGGAGGGGUGGUUGGUUUUUGAAAUUGUGGUCACAAGUGACGUCUAAGGUCUUUGUAUUGGGGUGGACGCGCGUUGAGUAUUUAAGGCGAUGUUACGGAUACGUGCUUCAAAUUUAAAUGUGCUCUUGUCCGACUAGCAUAUGGUCCGAAGACCUACAUGUCCAGUAAAAUUCAAGUCCCAUAUUCAUAACUCGUUGAUAGAUCAUGUACAACUUUUUCCCACUUUAAACCUUCACAAAAAAGGGUAAAUGAAACAUGUAGUCAUUAUCAUGAGUUAGUUGUAUCGUCGCCUUUCGAAUUGCUAGGUCAGUUUCAUGUUUUUUCUUCCUAAAAACACAAGAAAUGAUCAAACUUUUGGGAGUGUUUUUCAUUUUCUCCCAUUCAAAACGAGCUAACAAAAUUUCUACCAAGUUUUCCUAUGCUGCAAAAAAGUGUAAAAUUAAAUGCAUCCUCCUAAUUAAGCAACAGCUCUACACAUGCAAAUUCUCAUCAUAAUUCAUCUCAUGCAUACCAUCCUUCACCAGUUCAUCAUCAUCACCUCCUAUAUUUACUCACCCAUUUCCUUCACAAACUCACCCGUGCACGUGUUGGUUUGGUUUGGGUGCCGAGGCGAGGAGCCAACCACGUGCGUGCGCGCGUGCGUCGGCUUCGCGUCCGGCCAUGGGGUGCUCCAGCUCGAGGGAGGCGCGCGGCGGCGUGGUGUCGCCGACGGCGGCGCCGGCGGAGCGGCAGCAGGGCCUGCGCUCGCGCUCCCUGACGAGCCGCGCCGCCUUGGCGCUGACCGCCGUCGGCAUGUGCCGCGGCGGGCACGACGGCGUGCGUGCCUACGCCCCGCUGCCGUCCGAGGAGGCGGCGAAGGGCGCCAGUGACCCGGCCGCGGCUGAGGAGGCGCUUCCCGGCGAGGGUGCGGCGGCGGCGGAGGAGGACCAGCGGGACGACGCGGCCAGCACGCCGGCGGCGGUCAUGGUCAGCGUGGAGGACGCCGCGUCGGUGACGUCGUCGUGGACGGCGCAAUGGAGCGCAGAGCCUGCGCCGUCUCUGCCGCCGGCGCUUGACCUUGACCCGGCUAUCUUGCCUGGCUUCGGGCAGCCGGUGGUGGUGCCGUCGCCCUCGCACCCGGCGCUUCUCUACCCCGAGCAGGAGAAUCCAGCACCGCCGCCGCAGGAGACGACGGAGGAGACCUGCGACGUCGACAUGGGAACGCCGCCCGCCCGCGACAUACCUGAGGUCACCGGCUUUGUCCGCGCACGCGUGGACGAGUUCCAUGAAAAGAUGGAGAAGAAGAAGGCGGCGACCGCGGCCGCAGACGAAGCCCCCGGCUUCUUCGGCGACGGCGACGACUUGACGGUGCCAAGGCUCCGUCCGCCGCUGCGCGCGGGGAAGCCCGUGGUGCUCUACUUCACCAGCCUCCGCAGCGUCCGCCGGACGUUCGAGGACUGCCGCGCCGUGCGCGCCAUCCUGCGCUGCUACCGCGUGCGCCUGGACGAGCGCGACGUGUCCAUGCACGCCGCCUUCAAGUCCGAGCUGCGCGGCCUCCUCCUCGCCGGCGGCGGCGAGGGCGCCGCGCUCCCGCGCGUGUUCAUCGGCGGGGUCCACGACCUGGGCGGCGCCGAGGACGUGCGCGCGCUGCACGAGGCCGGCGAGCUCGCGCGCGCGCUGGCCGGGUGCGACGCCGCGCCGGCGGCGGGCAGGCCCGGGCACGUCGGCGCGUGCGCGGCGUGCGGCGAGGCGCGGUUCGUGCCCUGCGGGACGUGCCACGGCAGCUGCAAGGUCUUCGUCGACGACGAGGGGUGCCGCUUCGCCGGCUUCUUCCGGCAGUGCCCCGACUGCAACGAGAAUGGGCUGAUCCGUUGCCCCGUGUGUUGUUAUUGACUGUUCUAGUGUUCUUCCAUAGGUUGCAGUGUUAUGAUCGGAAAGAGAUGGUAGGUUGCUGCAGUGUUUACGAGGAUGCUUGUUCGUAGUUGGUGAUCAGUUCUAGUUGGGUGUAAAAUUAGAGCCAAGAAGGUGCCUCAGGCGUGGAAUUGAUGCUUGUCCUCUUAGGUUUUGUUCCAGUUCUUCGUUAGGACUUGUUCGGUUAACGAGAUUAAAUCCCGUAUUCAUAGAGCGUGAAAUUUAACGGUUAUCUCGAAUAUAUGGAUUGAUUUGAAAGUCCUUUAUCCAUAGAUGGCAUCCAGGUCGUGCGUAUUAAAAAUCAAUCCUAACAAAUGCCACGUGCUAAGCUUACCAAAUUUUCUCGAGACCGAUUUUGAGGGCUCACCACGGAAAAAUAUUUUGUAUGGUUUUCAUCUUACUCUCUCGUUCUCUCCCUAAAUUUAAGAUUUGCCCCUAAUACGCCACAAUUUUUACACGUGCUGUCCUAAUCAUGCCCCUAGUUAGAAAGAAAAUAGGCUAUACUUCCACUUUCUCUUUGUUGCCUAUUGGAUUGUCGCCUGUUAAUGGUAGGUACAUGAUAGAGGUAGAUGAGGCAUUACUUUGGCUAUAUAGAGAGCGAGUACCCUAUCCCAUUGACCCCCACCCCCUCCCCGUGCACCCUUCCUCUCUCUCUCUCUCAUAUUUCCAUGGCGUAAUGGUGGGAUAAUGACUCUUAUCUCUAAAUGGUAGUACUAUGAUCUCAAUACAUGACACAAUGACAUUUAUCAGUAACACGACAAUAACAAACCAGUUAGUAGGCGAUGGAAUAAUGUAGGUGAUAGGUGAGAAGCACAAUCCUUUAUUAUCUUUGCAUUGAAUAUUUUAUCACUACAGGUGUCUUUAUCUUUUGAGUUAAUCACAUAUUAUCUUCUUUUGAACCAGUCAUAGUCCUGAAUUUCAUUCAAAUUUCUGAUACAUUCAUAUGAAUUGAACCUCACAAAUCCACAAUGAUUUUACUCAUGGGCCAAUGGGUCAUGAUGGGCCAAAGUAUGCAAGUACCUCAAGGCCUAUAAGGGCGAGGGCAAUGUAUACUGUCUAAGUGGUCUAUAAAGGUGGGCCAUAUCAAAGUGGGAUGUAUACCUAUUCCUAAGCCCACAACGGUGAGCUCAGAAGCAGGCAACAAGGGUGGGUCCAGCAAAUAAAAAACAUCCAGAACUCGGUCAGUCGUCUCCUCUCCCGUUCCCCUCUCUCUCCGCGUGUUUCUCCCUCACUCCGCGCCGCCGUCCGUCUCUCGCAAGCGCCGCCAGUUGCGGGCCUCCCCCACCCCUCAGUCUGCACAGAUGAGAUCCCCCCGCACCACACCGCACCUCUCUCAGAUCGAGUUCCCCUUCGUUUAAAUCGAGUUCUACACGGGAGAGGGGGAGAUCUGUCGCGACCUUCCUUGGCUGCCUCCAUGGGCUGCCGCCGCGGUGGCCCUCUUCCCCAACCCCCAUCCCGGUGAUGGCAUUGUACAUGGCCUGGAGGGUUGGAGAGUGGAGAAGAGCGCGAGGAGGGCGUCGCCAGGUUGAGCUCCGUGGUCGAGGGGCAGAGCAGCGGAGGUUUGGAUUGGGGCGGCGUUGGCGCCUUGAACCUUCUCUUUAAGUUCAGGUUAACAGCCUCCUUGCCUUCAACUUCGACCUCAUCUCCGUGGUGUAGCUCACGCAUCUCGUCAAGCUCAUGUUGAUGGCAGGAGCAGCAAUGGUGGUGGGAGUAGCAACCAUAUCGACGCAGGUGAGAGGAGAUGACAACGGAGAGAGAAUAUUGAUAUUUUAUUCAUAUGCCCGGUCCAUAUGGGUACCCAUAAGCAUAGACCAAAAGUAGUCCAUAGGCAAUAAACAAUGUAUUCAACCUAUCCUUGUACAUUGUGCAACCAAUCUAUAGGGUAGUCCAUAGCAAAAACUACCCAUAUGCAUAUGGGUUGCCCAUAAAAAAUAAACAAACAUUAAUCUCUCUCUCCCCACACUCUUUCUCCCCCCCCCCCCCCCAUGCUGCUCAAACAUUAGCUUGUGAGCUCAAUCAUGGAGCUCAGCUUACCACCUCCUUUUACUUUUAACAUUGUGAUAAUGAUAAGACUACUUUGUGUGGGUCCCAUCUAUAUGGACUACUUGUCCAUGUAGAUUGACCUUACCCUAAAGACUGGUUGCACAAUAUAUUACCUUUAUGAUGUCAUAAGGAUCACUUUUGCAUAUAUAUUGUGGGUGCUCUAAUAAAUGUCCAGUCCUUAGCUACAUCCAAGUUGGGUCGGACAAGCCUGGGCACAGUCGCGCGCCGCUAUCACGGGCCACUUCGUAGCUCAAUAUUUUUUAAAAAAAGAUUGAGCUUCCAAUCUUCCAUGAUGUUACUUCCGUUACUGUGAAGUACAAGCUCACAUUUUGAAAACGUUGUAUCGUAUAGCCUUAGGGGGUGUUUGGAUCCUGGAGCUAAAGUUUAGUCCGUGUCACAUCGAAUAUUCAGAUGUUAAUUAGAAGAAUUAAAUAUGAACUAAUUACAAAACUAAUUGCAGAACCCCUAGGCUAAAUCGCAAGACGAAUCUAUUAAGCCUAAUUAAUUCAUCAUUAGCUAAUGUUUACUGUAGCACCAUAUUGUCAAAUCAUUGACUAAUUAGGCUUAAUAGAUUCGUCUCGCGAUUUAGCCUAGGGGUUGUGAAAUUGGUUUUGUAAUUAGCCUAUGUUUAAUACUCCUAAUUAGUAUCAAACAUUCGAGGUGACAGGGAUUAAAAUUUAGCUCGGGGAUCCAAACAUCCCGUUAGGCUCCAUUGUUCUGAGGUUUAGGGAAUAUUAUCUGUUGCAGUUAGUCCUACCGAUCACUGAGUGGUCACUCCAGCCAAAAGAGUAGCAUUUUAGGUGGUCACUCCAGCUAAAAGAGUAGCGUUUUAGGCUAGGUUUAGUCAACAUUUUUAAAACUCUAUAGCUAACUGCUUUGUUUAAAUUGAGAUUCAAAGUUUAUAAAUGUUUUUGCUAGGUAUUUCAUGUCAUGCAAUUUUACUAUAAUGUGUCAAUGUGUAAAUUGUAUAAAUUAGAAAUCAAAGUUGCAUCUAGGAACAUGUUGAUGUCUAAGACAUCACCUUUUAGUCUGAGUAUUGGCCUUUGAGCUAGAUACAUCUAGUUCAUACAUCGACAAACUUUUCAGUGUUAAUAAUCUAAUGUUUCUAAUAAGGAAAAACUAACAUAUUAACAAAAGUGGCAUACUACAUAGCUAAAACUUUGCGCUUAAACAAAUUACAUUACAUACAACAAAAAAUGCAUACAAUUCCUACAUAUAACAUUAGUCGAUAUGGCUUGGAAGUCCUUGGCACUACCAGUUUCAGACUUGGAUAGAAUCUGGUGCUUGGCAGAACGAAGGGCGAGGUGAUCCUUUAGGCGAGCCAAAGCAUUGCAAGCGAAAUUUUACUUGACCACUGCUUUGCAAAGUGCAUAUCCUAAUUCUUUCCCAUUCUCAUGACCUCUUUAUGGAUUUUCAUUGCCCUAACGAUUGCAGUCAAGGUGGAGCCUCCGUACUUUCAUCUUUCCAUUCAGGGCCAGCGCAAGAACAUCAUACUCUUCAACGUACCAUAGCUCUGAUACCCUCGCCUGGAACAGAGAUGAGAAUGGGUAGCCAAUGUUGCUAUGUUAGCAAUCGAGGUGAUUUUGCAAUGAAAUAUUUGGAGAAAGGUAUGGGCAACAAGAACUACCUGGAAGCCACGGAUCUUCUCAUUAACUUGAGCGACCAACCCAUGGAAGAACUUGGUGUGAUCAAAAGAUGAUGCGCUUUGCUACAAGAUGGCACAUCAAAUGUAAUGUCACAUGAGAUUAACUAAACAACUGAGGGAUAUAUCAGCGCAAACUUCCAAGAUUCAGCAGUGAUAAACUAUUGAUGGCAGACCUUGUCUACAGAAAUGUCGAUGUGUUUGUGGGAAACUAUGACUGUCUUAUCAGCACAGCAACAUGGAAUACAGUUAGCUGAAGACAGUACCCUUUCUAAGUUCAAUUUAGUUUAUACAGCCAGAAAUAGUAAAAUGAAGAGGAAAACAAUUUUUACAAGCCACUGCAUUGCUGAACAGACCUUUGUCCCAAACAGUGGGCUUAUUAUGUGGUUGUGAUCGAUAUUUUUAAAGAAUCUAGAUGCUCAUGAGUUUGAGUGCAGACAACAUCUUCUAGCGUCCAAUAUGAAAUCAAAUACAGAGGUGUUAUGUGAAGUAAAACUUAAGUUGUAGGUGGCCUACCUCUUGUGGAAGCUUAGGAUGCCCCAGAAUUCGUGCAAAGGAGGUGUGAAGCAGAACAGAAUCAUACUGUCAAAUACAAAAAUAGGUUAAGUGGCAGAUUUAUUAAAUGUGCAAAAUAUCAUGCUAAUAGCCAUCAGCAUGCAACAACUACAUACAACACAACUAUACUUAAUCCUGAAUGAUAAACUUAGCCAGGUCCUGAAACAAAUUUGUAAGAAAAUACUGUGCUUUUGUUGAUGUUUCUUUGUCAAGAUAAUGUUAUCUGUUGACAAUGGGGAUGGAAACUUGGGUAAUAUUUGUAUCAGAUUAGUCUGAGCGGUUCAUACCAGUUGCUUUUGAGGUGCUCGAGGGAGAGCUUCUCUCAAUCUUGAGCGGAUUUCUGCAGGAUCAGUACCAGAUUCAACCUAAACACACCAGCAAGCAGAAUUGCCUAUAUUUCAGUCUGAAUCCAUAUUAGAAUAGAGGGUAGCACGCUAAGGUUAAACAUAGAUGUCCAGGAAGUCAAUUCACAGACAGAACAGGGUGUUCUAGAUAUGCGAACCUGCCACAAGCCAAGAAGCACACCAGUUGACGUCAAAACCACUCGAUCCAAUACAAUUUUAAGAGGACAAAUAGUCUUGGUGACUUUUUUUACUGCCUCCACUUCGGCUUCAAUCUCAAGGAAACACAUGAACAUGUCAGUAAAAACUUUACUCCCAUGCUAAAAGAAACCAAACAGAGGGUGUGUUCACCUCGUCAUCAGUUGCAACAAUGGGCUCCAAGUGAUGGGAGGCGUGAAACAAACUGAAGUGGUACAUGCUUGUAUUUUGGAACCAGAUAACUGCAAAACAAUCAACCAAGCAAAGUAUUCAAGAUCAAGUGCUUCAACAGUUCAACAAAGCUGUAGCUCUAUAUGCAAGUAGCCAAGCAAUCAAGAACAGCAAGCAACUGAACCGAUAAUUCUAUCUAGCAGCACUCAAGCAUUAGGCCACUUCAAACUAGAUGAAAUUCUACGAUUCUAUGCAUAUGGGAUAUCGUACCAUUACACAAACUUUACCUUGAUCAAAAUAAGGAAGAAAUACUUCCUUGACAGCCUUCCUGCAAGCACAAAACAUACUGAAUAAAGCAAUGGUCUGACGUCACCUCCAGAGGAACAAUUAUUUCAUUACCCACCUGACCAACUACAGGCUAUAACUAUUAAACUUAAUUUCUUCUCUUGCAGCGAAAAAAAAAAUAGCUUCAUUUCAGCAACAAUAAACAGAAUGGCAAGUUGCCAACGGAUUUCAGGCAAAGCUCAUCACUCACGAGAUCACAGCGGCGAACUCCGGGUCCAGAUAGAGCACAUUCGCGCGCACCGGUGGGUCGGCGGCCUGCCAAGCACAUUUCAGUUCAGGGACACAAAAAACAGCACACGCCAGCCAACGUGAGUAGGGUGGGUGGAGAAAGGCCGCACCUUGAGCCUGGGCACGACGGCUCCGUCGUCGGCGGUGUCGAAGAGGUCCGUCAGCGUGAGCGACUGCGACGUCUCGCCGCCCCGGAGGAACGCCGCGCCGCGCUCGUCGAGGUCCCGCGCCAUCUUCGCGUACAGCUCCGCGCGCCGGGCCGGCACGGAGGCGGAGCCGCCGCCUGGGGGCAAAACCAAGAAAAGGGGGCAAGAUUUAAUAACCUGUGAGGAUUUUGGAGGAGAUAGCAAACGGGGAUGGAAGGUUUAGGAGGGUUGGUUACGAGGGGAGACGGGAGGGUAGGAGCCCAUGGGCGGCCAGCGGAGGAGGAGGACGAGGAGGAGGGCGGCGGCGGGGAGGGACCAGACGGCGGCGGUGGCCGGAGAUCUGGGACGGGCGGAGCAGCGGCUCGGGGGCCUCUGCGCCAUCAAAUCAAAGAUGGUUUGGUGACUGCUGUUCUGUUCGAGUGGUUUCCAGACGGUGGGGUCGUGUCGUGUCUCUUUGCCCGUACCCAUGUUUUUUUUUAAGGAAUAUCGAACCAGCGAGCUAGAAGUUCGGCUCGGCUCGGCUCGUUUGCAUGUUCGAGCUGGCUCGUCAAUCUCGCGAGCCAACGCAUUCAGACCAUCUUCGAUGCAGCACGGAAGAAAUUUGAACAUGAAAGUUGACUGAUUGAGUCGCGAUGCGAGAGAUUAACCCGAUCAAAUCAAUCAAACACACAGCAUGUGAUUAAACAAAAAAAAGUCAGCCCAAACCGCGGAAGUUGCAUAAAUCAUCCAAGAUUGAAAAGAAAUUGAGUGCGAACAGACGAUAAAAAAAAACUAGAGCCAGUUUGGGUCCCUUACUGGCUUCACUUGCCUUGCCUCGCCUAGCAAAGGCUAGCCUUGUCCGAGGAGGAAAGCUGAACUGGUUCGCCGUUGCAAGCAAAACUUACUAUAACAGGCACUGAGACAUAUGUUAAAAAAUCAAAUGUUUGAUAGUAUUAUUUCCAUAUAUUUCACAGUGAAUGAAUGUUGCAUUAAACAUAUGUUCAUGUUGCGGUGAGAAUUUUCUAUCUUGGAGUCGAACGACGUAGUCAUUUUUUCACAUAUUUUUCAAUGUUGCAAUUAUGAAUUUUUGAUGUUGCAGAUGUUUUAUUUUGAUGUUGCAAUGGAGCGUCAUAUGGAAAAAUUCCCUAGCAAAAAAUUAGAAAUGAGACCAGCCAUCAACGAUGCGAGCCGAACUGAACAAGUUAGGAAGGCUCUUUUUUUCUCAGCACUACCCAUAGGUGCAUGAACAUAUUAUCAACCUAUCGUCGUAUUUGCUUUCAACUCGUUUUCAAGUAUCGUCGUAUUUGCUUUCAACUCGUUUUCAAGUAUUUUGGAAUGACAAUUUUCUUUUCUCUAAGGUGAAUUUAUUUUGACACAAUAAUAUUCUUAGUGGUCGCUAAUAGAUUGUAGGUAAUAUUUAAUUGUAACAUAUUACUUACUUUAAUAAAGUAUAAAUAAUGUUUGGCGCAGGGAUGCGAAGCCACUAAAAGAUAGAGAUGAGAAAGUAGAUAAGAACAACUUGACCAUCUGCAUAUUUGCGAAAAUAACCUCGAUGCUAAGCUACCAUUGUUUUCACUGCAACAUCCAAAAAUACCACUACUUGCAUUUCAAUGGUCACAUCUUUAUGGUGUUUCUUCCUUUACAAAGGUCUAUUUUACAUACAUACUGAUAAAAAUAAGUAAAGUAGGAAGUUUAAGAUAGCUAUUGCAAAAUUGAUUCGAAGCUUUCUUGCACCCGUUAGUGUGGACGUGGCCUCGAUAAAUAAAAAUAGUAAAGUAAGAGCAGCCAAAGGUGUGGAGAAACUUCAACUUUCCCUUUCCUGUUGAAGCAUCGGUUUAUACGUUAUAGAUGUUGAGGCUUGAACCAAAAAUCUUAGCAUCGUAUAAUCUAGUUACAUCGGUGCUAGCUAAAUAUUUAUUUAAUGAAUCACAGCUCAUGAACCGAGAAGUACGAUGAAGGAGCAUUGAAUGUCCACACGAAGAGAAGAGGAGAGUUUUGACAUUUAUUGGUAAAGCGAGUUCUAUUAUCGGGUUUACGUCAGCAUAAACCGUUAUGGGAUGUUUGGAGCAUUGAUUGUUUCAUGCACACCGUGAAUAUUUUUAAAGAUGCUACGAUAGUGAAGUGUUCAAUACUACUAUUUUAAUAUUUAUUAAAGGUAGAAUUAUAGGUGGGACUAACCAUAUAUUGUGGAUAUCGAGUAGACAAGUAAUAAUAGUGAUCAUCUCUAGAAUUAGUCGGAAAUUUCGAAACGGAUUAUGUUUUUUAGUUUACAGAGUUGUUUUUAUAAUGUUUUGACUAGCCAUUAAGCCAUGACAGGGGAAACCAAAGUUUUUGUCACACAUUGUAUAAUGUCUCGUAUUGUAUUUAGGCCUUGGCAACCUGUUGGACACAGAAACGAAAAGGGAGCCAGAAUCCCAGACGCCAAAAAUAGAUCUCAGGAUCGGAGAGGCCCAAAAAGGCAAAAACUCCAGAGCGGUGGGGCGCAACCAAACCACCCGGUUACGAAAGAAAUCCCAAACGAGAACAUCGUUUCUGAUCUCUUCCCCCCUCCCUUCGCACCCACGCGAGCGAAACCCUAGCCUCCACCGCCACCUCGCCGGAAACCUAGCGCCGAGCAGCAGGCGGCGGCGGCGGCGGCGCCGGGGGAGAGGAGGAGGACGAUGAUGAACGGCCAGAAGAAGCGCGGGACGAAGAUCGAGCCCUUCCGGCACCGCGUGGAGACCGACCCCAAGUUCUUCGACAAGUCGUGGCGGAAGCUCCACGACGCCAUCCGCGAGAUCUACAACCACAACGCCAGCGGCCUCUCCUUCGAGGAGCUCUACAGGUUAACAUUGCGCCCCCCCCCCCCCCCCCCCCCCCCCGAAUUUUCGUUCCCCCCCUGUUCCGUCGGAUUUGUUUCCCCCGGCGAUUAGGUCGGCCCCGCUGUAUGAUCGAUGAUGAUGGAUCGGAUUGCGGCGAAGGUUUCGAUUGAUUGAUUGAUGCGCUGAUUGACGAUCCCUGAUUUAUUUUAUAGUCGAUCCUGUUUGUCUGCAUGUGAGAUGAUGAUAUGCGUGAAUGUUUCUGAACAGAUUAAUCUCGAUUAUUAGUGGUCUUUACUUGUUCGAAGGCUUGUCCUAUAUCCGUAUUCUGUCAUUAUGAUAUUAGGAUAUUUUAUCGAUUCAUUCAUGCUUGCUCGAAGCCGGAUGUGCGUGUGCUGUUUAAUUUUGGCCCGUUUUGAACCUUUGGGAUACAUUAGAGCUGAACCGAUGAGAACUGCCAUGUAGAGUUGCAUUAAUAUUAUUUAUUGUCUAGAGGGCUUGCGUUACGAUCCCUUGUUCGUGUUACUUCCGUUACAAUCCGUGCUUGUGUUCCUGUCCUUCCUAACUUGUUACCUUCUAGUUAUAUACAUCUGUUAUGUCCGGGUGUCCACGUGGCCAGGUUGUGUCAUUAAUUUGUUUACUGAACCCUGGAGAGUACACUAUGGUGUCCCACCAUGCUCUGCUAGGCGUCCUGCCAUCCAUGCAUGGCUUGGUGUUAUAUGCUGGAUUUGCUGUUAUAAUGUAAAUAUUUAUUGUUAAUUUCCAGCCUUACAAGGUGCUACUUGUAUUUUGUUUCCAGUGCUAACCACUACGUAGGUGCCUAGGAGCCUAGGAGUUCUGGUGUGUAGUGCCUAGAGUCUUUGCUAAAUCCUCUUGGAAACUAGGCUUUAUGACUUCGUAUACAUGCUGGCUAAUAGGAUAUGUAAGAUGGUCAUGUCUGUUUGUUUUGGAAAGGUUGAUGCUUUUGGAUAGUUGGCAUUGAUUUCUGAAAUCUUCUCCCGUCAGCAAUUCUUUCUUUUUUUGGCGAAUAGGAUAUGUAAGCUGUGGUACCUAUACUACCGUAUCCCUGAUCCAUUUUUACCAUUUAAUGGCCGACUUUAUGGCCUUUGUUUCAGCAUGUUGCAGCCUUUGAACUUCCCAAAAUGCGUGCAAAUACAUCAGUGGUGUUAUAUUUAAAUCUGUGGAUAGAGCAAAAUUGUUACACAACUCACAAAUAAUCAUACUUCACGUACCUGUUCUAGAAAGUUCAUGUGAUUGAUUCAUCCUUGCACGUUAUUGAACACAGUUUUGGCUAAACAUUUCAAAUUCUACUGUAAGUUUGCUGUCUAAAUAGAGAAAUGAUUUCCUGUAUGUUUGGUCUGUAGAACCUGUUCGCCUCAGGGCUUUUUACUGCUGCUGCGUUUAUUUCAAAUAGUUACGGUUUAAAAAUCUGCUGCUAGAUUUUUUUUAAACGUAGCAGAAGUACACAUGAUCUGGGUUCUUGGUAUGGACAUUGCAUCUAGCUUAUGAAACCAAGAAACAUUACAUAGCAAUUGUAUGAAAGAAACAAGGACUGACAACCCCAAGUCUGCUAGUUCUCUGCAAAUAUUUAUUUUUCAAGAUAUCCUUGUUCUGUUGCUCAUGUUGUUAAUAUAUGUAGGAAAUCACAUAUCUUUUAAUGGUGAAUAUAAUAUUUUUCUUAUAUUAUGACAGGACUGCUUAUAACAUGGUUCUGCACAAAUUUGGUCCUAAGCUCUAUGACAAACUCAUAGAAAACAUGAAAGAGCAUCUUGAAGAGAUGCGUACAUGUGUAGAGGCUGCUCAAGGUGUUUUGUUCCUGGAAGAGUUGGAGAGAAAAUGGAAUGACCAUAACAAGGCAUUGACAAUGAUUAGAGACAUCCUGAUGUACAUGGACAGGACAUAUAUUCCCACUAAUAAAAAGACACCUGUCUUUGAUCUUGGAUUGGAGCUUUGGAGAGAUACCAUAGUUAGGUCUCCAAUGAUUCAGGGGAGGUUGCUUGACACACUUCUUGAACUCAUACAUAGAGAAAGGACCGGUGAAGUGAUUAAUAGAUGCUUGAUGAGGACUACAACUAAAAUGUUGAUGAAUCUAGGGUCUUCUGUUUAUCAGGAUGAUUUUGAAAGACCAUUUCUUGAGGUGUCUGCUAGUUUCUACAGUGGUGAGUCGCAGCAAUUCAUUGAUUGCUAUUCUUGUGGUGACUAUCUGAAGCUUGCCGAGAGGCGCCUCAGUGAAGAAUCAGAGCGUGUUUCACAAUAUAUGGAUGUGAAAACAAAUGAGAAAAUUACUGCUGUUGUGGUGAAAGAGAUGCUAGCAAAUCACAUGCAGAGGUUGAUUCUUAUGGAGAACUCAGGGCUUGUGAAUAUGCUUGUUGAAGACAGGUAUGAAGACCUGACAAGGAUGUACACUUUAUUUAAUCAUGUACCUGAUGGGCUCACAACGAUUAGAUCUGUGAUGAUGUCUCACAUUAAGGAUACUGGAAAGAGUCUGGUAACAGAUCCAGAGAGACUAAAGGACCCUGUUGAUUUUGUCCAGAGGCUUCUAAAUGAGAAGGAUAAGUAUGACAAUAUCAUCAACGUGUCAUUUAACAGUGACAAGAGUUUCAUGAAUGCUCUGAAUUCCUCAUUUGAGCACUUCAUCAACUUGAACAACAGAUCCCCUGAGUUCAUAUCACUGUUUGUUGAUGACAAACUGCGGAAAGGGGUGAAAGAGGCCAAUGAGGAGGAUCUUGAGACUGUCCUGGACAAGGUGAUGAUGCUGUUUAGGUACUUGCAAGAAAAGGAUCUCUUUGAGAAGUAUUACAAGCAACACUUGGCAAAGCGUCUUCUUUCUGGGAAGGCUACUUCUGAUGAUUCUGAGAGGAGCAUGCUUGUGAAGCUGAAGACAGAAUGUGGAUACCAGUUUACCUCGAAGUUGGAGGGCAUGUUCACUGAUUUGAAGACCUCUCAUGAUACUACGCAAGGGUUUUAUGCGUCUACCUCAGAUCUGGCAGAUUACCCCACAAUAUCUGUCCAGAUACUCACCACUGGUUCAUGGCCAACACAACCCUGCAACACCUGCAACCUGCCCCCUGAGAUAGUUGCUGUCUCUGAGAGGUUUCGGGCUUAUUACCUUGGCACCCACAAUGGCAGGAGGCUCACAUGGCAAACAAACAUGGGGAAUGCUGACAUCAAAGCAACAUUUGGAAAUGGCAGCAAGCAUGAAUUGAAUGUCUCAACUUACCAGAUGUGCGUUCUCAUGCUGUUCAACUCAUCAGAUGUCCUGACUUACCGUGAAAUCGAGCAGUCUACAGCAAUACCAGCUGCUGACCUGAAGCGAUGCCUCCAGUCACUGGCUCUCGUGAAGGGUAAGCAAGUCCUGCGGAAGGAGCCCAUGAGCAGGGACAUUGCUGACGACGACAGCUUCUCUGUGAAUGACAAGUUCACCAGCAAGCUGUUCAAGGUGAAGAUUGGCACUGUGGUGGCACAGAAGGAGACAGACCCUGAGAAGCUGGAGACCCGCCAGCGGGUCGAGGAGGACCGGAAGCCGCAGAUUGAGGCGGCCAUUGUGCGGAUCAUGAAGUCGAGGCGGGUCCUGGACCACAACAGCAUCAUGACGGAGGUGACGAAGCAGCUGCAGCCCCGUUUCCUGCCCAACCCUGUGGUGAUCAAGAAGCGGAUCGAGUCCCUCAUUGAGCGUGAGUUCCUGGAGCGGGACAAGACGGACAGGAAGAUGUACCGCUAUCUUGCCUAGAACCACCUCCCUUGCGCCGCGCAUAUUUCAAUUUUAUGCUACCCACCAAUAUCAUAUAAACAGACCUUGAUCCAUGUACUUAUGCAAGAAGGAAUUGGGUCUCUUCCCCCCCUGCACCCCGUGACGGUUCUAGUUUAAACUGGUUUUUGCGGCGUUCGUCCAGGUGGUAGCUAGUUAGCUUCUCUAUGUGACAUGUUGCGCUGGUUUACAUGUUAAUGGUGAUAGAUUUAAAUCUCGCUGUAUGUUCAUUUGAUGUUUGUUGCUUCAGAAUUGCGGUCCAAUCGCUGUCAUGGCCUGCUUUUUUCUGGCUUGAUAGCUGGUUCGAUCUCGCUGAAAUGAUGCCUGGAUGAUAUUCUACUAAAUUAUUACUAUACACUUUGCAAUGCUAAGUGGCAGGUACUGUCCAUUGCCAGCGGUGUGCAGCUUCCGGAAGUGUGUUCCAACUUGCAUGCCUCUCACUGCAACAUCUGUAAGGCAUGUUUUUGUUUGUACUGGAUUGCGAUUUGUGACUAGAAAAAUUGAUGAAUUACUUAUUUCUACUGAUUAAUAAUGGAAAAAAUUCACGGAUUUACCAAGUUUUUUUUUAACAACAGGUAAAGUGACCACACCUUGCAACACCCAGAUAAGCAAAUUUUAAGUUGCGUUGAGACUUGUGAGACCCUUGUUUGUAAUGAAAAAUGAAAAAGCUCGUCUCCUUGAUUUUGUUUGUUUCAUUUUAUGAAUUUAGAACAAUUUCAGCAUUGCAAAUACUCAAGUUCCCGUGUAUGCCCAGGAAUCGGCAUCGCUUUCAGUUUUUCCUGAAGCAUCGCGACGCCACGCUGCCACGCUCGACACAGUCAAAUCAUGCAACGCUCACGUAGGACUGUACACAUAUAUGGGCACGAUGAACAUGGAGGACGACACAAGGCAGCCUCUAAGAAAGAAGCGUGUGAUCGUCUCCGGCGAGCCUAGGUAGCAACUAGUCCGGCGGCGCGGGCGGGAUGGCGGGGCAGGGGCAGCGGCUGAACGUGGUGCCGACGGUGACGACGCUGGGCGUGGUGAAGGCGCGCCUCGCCGGCGCCACCCGCGGCCACGCGCUGCUCAAGAAGAAGUCGGACGCGCUCACCGUCCAGUUCCGCGCCAUCCUGAAGCGCAUCGUCUCCGCCAAGGACGCCAUGGGCGAUGCCAUGCGCGCCGCCUCGCUCUCCCUCGCCGAGGCGCUCUACGCCGCCGGCGCGCCGGUCCGCCACGCCGUGCAGCAGUCCGUCUCCGGCCCCGCCGCGCUCCGCGUCCGCGCGCACCAGGACAACAUUGCCGGCGUCCGCCUCCCCCGCUUCGAGAGCUACCUAUCUGACGGCGGCGCUGCCGGGGGAGCGUCGUCGUCGUCGCCGGUGGCGUCGCUGGCGGGGCUCGCCGGCGGCGGGCAGCAGGUGGCGGCGUGCCGGGCGGCGCACGCGCGGGCGCUGGAGGUGCUGGUGGAGCUGGCGUCGCUGCAGACGUCGUUCCUGACGCUGGACGUGGCGAUCAAGACGACCAACCGGCGCGUGAACGCGCUGGAGAACGUGGUGAAGCCGCGCCUGGAGAACACCAUCACCUACAUCCGGGGGGAGCUCGACGAGCAAGAACGGGAGGAGUUCUUCCGCCUCAAGAAGAUCCAGGCGAACAAGCGGCGGGCGCUCGAGCAGCAGAAGGAGGCCGCCGCGCGCUACGCCGAGGAGAAGGCCGCCGGCGAGGUCAUGCUCAAGCGCGGCGUCUCCAUGGACACCGCCGCCAGCAUGCUCGACAACGGCGACAGGGACGAGGACAUCAUCUUCUGAUCCCUCCACCCGGCUGCACAACGUCUAUUUAUAUGAUAUACGGACUACUUGUUACCAGGAGUCUGUCAAUGCAUAUGCAAGUCUUGUGAUAAUAAUCUUGAGCCUGGAGGCUCCGUGUAGAUGCCAUUUCUGCAUGAAGAUCGAUGUGCUCAACGCGCAGCAGCUGUAUUUUGCAUGCAUUUCACAUGUUUGUGUCACCGGUUCAUGCUUAAAAAUAAUAAUAUUUACUUGCAAAUCACAUAGCCAGAACUCAUGACUGAUGACUCAUCACUCAUUUGCUCAUCAACUCUAUUUUUUCAUCGCUGUAUGACAGUUGACAGUACUUUUAUUCAUACGAUUAGCUUAUUUCGUGAAGGGGCAUUUGUGUUCAUACCCCUGCUUUGAAGUGUAAAUGUGAUUUUGCCCUCAUUUUCUCAACUUUGUGAUUUUACCCAACUAUUCACAAGUCAAUGCGAUUUUACCCCCAGUCAAUGGUCAAAACAGGGGCAAAUACGCAAAGACCAAGGGCAAAAUCGCAUUGACUUGUGAAUAGGUGAGGGCAAAAUCACAAAGUUCAAAAAAUGGGGGUAAAAAUACAAUUGCACUUCAAAGUAGGGGCAAGAUAAAAAAAACCUUUCAUCGAACGCAGAAUGGAAAGGUCAACAAUGGACGAUUUUGGGGUGAAAAAAAAAGGGCUGCCGUGACGUGUCCACAAACAUGCCAAAUCCGCACUCAUUGAUCAUCUGUUAAAAUCCGGUACCGAAUCUCAGAAAAUGUCUUCAGAUCAGCACCCCACAGCCUAAAGUAGUUGCAGCAGGAAAAAUGACAAUAGUAAUCAGUGAACUAAUCAGUCAAUCACAUUUAAACAAAUGAAAGAUUUAACACUUUAUUUUUUAUAAAAUAAGACUUAACAUGGUUGAAAUAUGAUAUCUGCAUUGCCAAGGGAAUCACGAAGGAGAAGAGACUGCAUACCAGCACUCAAGUCCUAUACCAUUUGCACCUGCCUUGUCUGCAGUUUCAUCAUCUCCUACAUGCACUGCCUUGCUGGCGUCCACACCAAUUUGAUCUGAAUAACAGAAAAUAAGAACAUUUCUUCAUUCUACAGAAAAUUUCCAUAAUUUUCAACAGACCAAAUUCUACUUUUUUUACCUAAUGCUAUCUUGAAGAUCUCUGGAGCAGGUUUCUCGUACCCAACCUCUGAUGAUACCACAAUGGCAUCAAACCUGGAGAGCUCAAGAUCUGUUAACAUAUAACCAUUACUUGCAAAUAAUAAUACAUGUAUAUAUGUAAAAAAAAAAUCAUACUCAAGUCCAACUGAAGUCUGAAUAAGAUGGUGUUCGUAGGUACUUACAUAUCAGAGACAUUGAGGUCCUUAAGCAAUUUCCUUAGCCUUGUAUCAAAGUUAGAUACAACAGCUAGCUUAACUGAAAUUGAGACACAUCAAUGUCAGCCAUUUGUGCUGAUAGAGUAGAAUAAGAUAAGGGGCUGGAUGUGGAAAACUAGAAAUUAAAUUGCAGUAAACAACUGGAGAAUUGAAGAUUAACAGCUGAAAACAGAACAAGGGCUUGACCUCCAGCAUCCUUCAGCUCACGAAGUGUUGUGUCUGCUCCAUCAGGCAAACACCAAGCAUCUCCAUGGGCAUAGUACUAAAAGAUAGAAUAAUACAUUCAUCAGCCACACACGGUCUGUGUUUGAAAAUUCAACAUCAAUAAAUUGGAAUGUUUCCUUCAACUGAAAAGUCGAAUGGUAUUUGAGAGUGAAUUUCGCCUGGGCUAUUGUUCACUAACAGCAUAUUCAGAACACUGAUUACUCGCUCAACUUCAUCGUCAUAGGAUGUGAGAUCACGGAUUUCUUUAAGCAGAUACAGAACACCAGAAUACGUACUCAAAUACUCCAAUAAACAUUCAUUCACAAACAAAGCAUUCAUCCAAACAGCCAUAGCGACAAAUUAUAAGACUACACACAAUUCACAGAAGACCAAGAACAAGACUGGGGUAAUACCUGAUACACUUCUUCGAAAUAAUCAUCAUCAGUGCAAUUGGUUGCUUCUGCUACGACAAUUCUCCAGAAUGGCCUUCCAUCUCCCUGCAAUUACAUUCCAAAUCAAACACAUCAUCACCUCGAGAGCAGCAGAAACCACAGUUCUCCAAACUUGCGAAUGCAAUUCCUGUGCGUCUAAUGUCCGUUACCUGGUACCUGAGCGUCUUCGGCCAUGGCGCCGAGAAGGCCCGCUUGAACCCCUCCAUGAUGCCCUUCUCAGGCUUCGUCACACCUGGAGAGCGACCAACGUCAGGAACACCGAGUGCUCGACGAAAUGGCGGAGGAGGGACAUCGAAGGGGAGGUACGUGCGAGAAAGAUGGGUCCUCUGGAGGCAUACUAACCGUAGCGGCGGCCGAUGGAGGCGUAGGUCUCGGCAACCGGCCGCGCCACCUGCAGCAGCGUGCCGCCGGCGUCGAGCAGCAGCCCGCCGUACGCUGGCGCCCGCCCGCCGCCCCCAGCGCUCGCUGCCACCAGACGCCGCGCCAUGCCUGAGCGGGAUAGAGCGCCACGGAGUGCCGCCGGAGCCCGCCGGAGGAGGGGACAGCGCGCCGCCGCCGCGGUGGCGGGCGGCAUCUCCAAAGAAGGAAGCGUUCGCCGGCGAGUCCGCAGGAGAUGCGAGGCCUCGAGUGCGCGCCGCGAAUCUCAAAGCAAGCAGGGGGUGGGGGGCGGCAAGGCAAGGGGCAUUUUGGUCAGAUCGAAGCAGCAAACCCUCGGGAGGGGGAGAGAGAGAGAAAUCAAAGACCAAACCCUAAACCCCCGCGCCCGCCUCCUCUCGCUGCAGCAGCCAGCCAGCGGGGAGCUCGCACGGCGUAGCCUCUUGCUGCGCUCGGUGGCCGCCUGAUCCCGCUUGCUCUUCAUCGAGUUCCCCAGCUGCUGCACUCGCCGGGCGCCGCCGCCCACCAGGAAUCUAAAGGUUAUUCACUUGCCGAUUCUCCCUGCCCUUGAGACAUCUGAUUACUGUUCAUUGUACUAGCAGUGGAAGGCGCGUUCUAAUUCAGCCCAAGUAGUUCUUUGUUGUGUUUGCGCGGAUGGAAAUUAACUGAAUGAGCUUUGCUGUGAUUUGUUAGGGAGGAAGAUUUUUUAUUUUUGGUGGAGGGACAAGCUUUUACUUUUAUUUCAAUUCGUGGAGGAAGGUUUCUGGUGGAGCUGUACUGAUUUCAGGUGAAUCAAUUGGCUUUCUCUUCUCUUUGUAUGCCUUUUUAAUAGUCCAAUUUGAUUUUGCUGGAAGCUUCAAUUUUUUUUUGUUCAUUGUUAUCCUGCAGAUUGAGAGAGGGGCUAAUUUGGGGGAAGAAUGUCGGCAAAGUGGCGGUCACUGCAGCACCGGCACCGGUACACCUACACCUCAAUUGUGUUCCCCAAGCACUACCUUGAGGCACUAGCUCUCGUGCAGGCUGAUGUCACAUCGUCCAAUUUCUUUGUCCAAUUGAACAACUUGAUCUCCUUGACCUCCACCUACUCACAAGUGGUUGCAGUCAAAGACCUUGCCUCAGCAUAUGUGCAGUUUGUGUCUGCUCCAGGGACUCCUGAUGAUUCGGUGCUUGCCGCUACAAAACUUUAUCUGGAAAUCCUCUUCCUUGAGAACUCCCUCCCUCUCCACCGGACGCUCAUAUCGGUGCUCGCUAAGUGCAAGAAAUUCUCCCCAGUGAUCAGUGGGUGCUUUGCCCUGCUCUGCGAGGAGUAUGGUGGCUCUGGUAGUAAAGCAAAGAAGAGAUUUUUGGUAUCUCGGGCAGCCUUGUCGCUGAUUGGGUACCCAAAGUUGGGAUUUUUGGAUGAGGCGGUAGAGAGGUGUGCAGAGAUCAUGGCACUGGAUGUUGUUGAUGGGCUUGAUGGAGUGACUAGAGACAUUGGUGCAGGUUCACGGCCAUCUCCAGUCGUCAUGGAGCAGUGCCAGGAGGCCAUGUCUUGCAUGUACUACUUGCUGCAGCGGUACCCAUCUAAGUUUACUGGCCUCGACAAAGCAUCAAGUGUCUUCAAGAGUUCUGUUAGGACAAUACUAUCUGUUCUCAAGUCAUCUGCCUUUUCAAGGGAUUGCCUGGUGGCCUCUGGAGUGAGCUUCUGUGCUGCAAUUCAGGUUUUCAUGGGUGCGGAGGAGAUUUGCUGGUUUAUUUCUCAAGGUCUUUAUGGCAUCUGUGCAAAUCAUGAAGAUAGAAAAGAUCUAUCUGUGCGUGAUGUGCUUUCUGACUUUGAUCUGUGCGAAGAAAUCAGAGAUCUUUCUGUUUUGAGUAGACUCUGUUUGCUAAGAGGUAUUUUGACAUCUAUUCCAAGGACAGUACUCAACAUACGCCAACUUCAUUCCGGUGGAUCUUUAUGGACUGUAUUAUAUGAUGGGAUUUUACCUGAGCUUUGCAAGCAUUGUGAGAACCCAAUUGAUAGCCACUUCAAUUUUCAUGCUCUUACAGUGACACAAAUAUGUUUGCAGCAGAUAAAGACUUCUGUUUUAGCUGAUUUCACUGACUUCUCUGGGGACUAUAAGCCUUUCUCAAUAAAUGUUAUCAACCGUAUAUUGAGAAUCAUAUGGCGCAACCUGGAAGAUCCUUUGAGUCAGACAGUAAAACAGGUGCAUUUAAUCUUUGAUCUCCUAUUGGACAUUGAAUCAUGUAUUCCAUUAGAAGACUAUGAACACAACGACAAAUUGUUCCUGAGCAAUAUUGCAAAUGAUUUACUUCGCCUGGGUCCGCGAUGUAAAGGGAGAUAUGUACCUUUGGCUUCUUUGACAAAGCGAUUGGGUGCCAAAUCUCUUCUAAGAUUGAAACCAAACCUGCUUUCAGAAACAGCUUAUGCAUACAUAGAGGAUGAUGUUUGUUGUGCUGUGACAACAUUUCUAAAAUCCUUCCUGGAGACAUUAAGAGAUGAAUGCUGGAAUGAUGACGGUGUCGAUCAAGGGUACGAUGCCUUCAGAGUUUUGUGCUUGCCUCCUUUGAUGCGGGGACUUGUAUCCGGAAAUUCAAAACUGCGUUCCAACUUGAAUACUUAUGCUCUACCUGCUCUUAUUGAAGUAGAUGCAGAUAGCAUAUUCACAAUGCUUGGGUUCAUCUCAGUUGGCCCGAGCGCAAAGGCAACUGAACUAGAUAUUGUUUUGAAGAAUGAUCAGUGUAUAGCUGCACUGGUUUCACUGCUCAAAGUCUCUCGAAAUCUAGCUCUUGUUGAAGGGGACAUUGAUUUGGAUCCUGAUAAAUUGUCACAGCCUCAGAAAGAGGAUGACAGGGGUGCUGCAGUUAUAUCUGUUAGAGGGAUUAAUGUUACAGUGCCUGUUAAUUGGUUUGCUUUGGCACUGACACACAAUGAUGAAAGUCUCCGUAUAGAUGCUGCUGAGUCUCUCUUUCUAAAUCCGAAGACAUCAAGUCUUCCAUCCUCCUUGGAACUGAGCUUGCUUAAAGAGGCAGUCCCAUUGAAUAUGCGUUGUAGCUCAACUGCAUUUCAAAUGAAAUGGACAAGUUUAUUUCGGAAGUUUUUUGCUAGGGUGCGAACAGCACUUGACAGACAGGUAAAGCAGGGGUCAUGGAUUCCAUCUUCAACAGCUAGUGUUAAAGGAGCUGAUUCUGUUGAUGCUGCUAAUGCUGCUGUUAGCCAGAGGGCUGAAGAUCUGUUCCAAUUCAUGAAGUGGCUGAGCUCCUUUCUGUUUAACUCUUGUUACCCCUCGGGCCCUUAUGAAAGGAAAACAAUUGCAAUGGAGCUUAUUCUUACACUAUUAGAUGUAUGGCCUAUUUGCCGUUCUGAAGGGAAGAACGAUCUUUAUCCUUACAAUGACAGCAUAAUAUUGCCAGAUUCAACAAUUUCAUUUGUAGGAUCUAUAAUUGAUAGCUGGGACAGGCUCAGGGAAAACUCUUUUCGCAUUCUGCUGCAGUUUCCAACGCCACUUCCUGGCAUUUCUUCUAGUUUAUCCAUAAAUGAUGUUAUCAGAUGGGCAAAAACACUUGUGCUAAGCCCACGAGUCCGGGAAAGUGAUGCCGGUGCGUUGACCUUCCGUCUUAUAUUUAGGAAGUAUGUUGUGGAGCUUGGAUUCAUUCUUGUGUUUUCUAAAGAAAGUGAUUGCCUUGAAUGUUACACACAAUCUACUAAUGGAGAUACAAAAGCUGUUACUAGUCAAAACCCAGUUGCACAGUAUAUUUCUGCUCUCAUUCAAUGGCUCUGUACUGUUGUCGAAGAGGGUGAGCGGGAUCUUUCUGAAGCAUGCAAGAAAAGCUUUGUUCAUGGAGUUCUUCUUACCCUGCGCUACACAUUCGAUGAGCUGGAUUGGAACUCUGAGGUAGUGCAAUCGUGCGUUUCUGAAAUGAGUUGCCUGGUAGAAAGGGUGCUUCAACUCAUAAUGCGUGUAACUUCGCUGGCUCUCUGGGUGGUUUCUUCUGAUGCAUGGUAUAUGCCAUACGAUAUGGAUGACAUGAUUGAUGAUGGUUCCUUCCUCUCAGAUAUAUAUGAGGAGGAUCAACGUACUACUGGUUCAGAAAAAGAAGAGAAGAAUGCAAAACCAGGGAGUAAUGGCAAACCAGCCGAUCAGGUUGUUAUGGUUGGUUGUUGGCUUGCUAUGAAAGAGGUAAUGAGUUCAUUCCUUACCAUAUAUUCUCCUUUAGUUUUCAACAGAUUCAUUUUUCUUACUCCACAAGAGCUUCAGGAGUUGGUUUGUCGUGUUGAAGGGCUAGCUUAAUUAGCCCAGGUCUGGUCGUUUGAUUUAUUUCUUUUCAGGUGGGUUAUCUCAUAAUUUUCUGGCAACCUCAUCAUAUCUCCUAUUAGAGGUAUGGCGGAGAUAUGGUUGCUAUUGUAAGGGACCGUUUUUCUUUCUCUAUAAUAUAAAGAUAGACAGCUCUCCUUUGUGUUCGAGAAAAAAAAAGAUAAGUUGAGCAGCUAGAUAAAUUCUAAUAGCUAUGAUAUACUAUAAUUGUGAUCUGAGUAAGUUAUGAACCCCAAUUUUCUAGUAGGGAGGUUUUCAGAAAAUAUUGCUUCUGACCACUGGAAUGUUGCAUUUAUUGAAAGGUUUUCUCGCCCAGCUUUAGGCUACAAUUUUUAUUAAUUCAUUAGAUUGACAACUUAUUUCAAGAAGUUGCAUACUUUAUUUCAGUUUCAUAUUACAGUUGCAAUGCAGUUCCCUUAUUGUGUUUAAUUGUCUUUUCUAUGAUGUAACUUUUCCAUUUGCCAUUUCAGGUUAGCCUACUUUUUGGUACCAUCAUCAGGAAAAUUCCAUUGCCUGGCUGUUCUCAUUCAAAUUCAUCUCAGGAUGGCUUGCUUGACAGUACUGAGGAAACAAGCAUGUCAGAAGAAAUUCUUGACGUGGGGCAGCUGGAGACAAUGGGUGACCAUUUUUUACAAGUUCUUCUUAAAAUGAAGCAUAAUGGUGCAAUAGAUAAGACUAGGGCUGGGCUUACUGCCCUUUGCAAUCGUCUCCUCUGCUCAAAUGAUUCAAGGUAUGUUGAAUGCUCACUGAGGCCAUUCGCUGAAUCGCUUCAUGUAAAGAAUGGGAUUUCAUGUGCCUAAACCAGCUAGAGUUCUUGUUUACGUUCAAAAUUUUUAAUCCCUGUUUUUGUUAGCAAACCUCCAAAUGUUUCAUCACUUGUGGUACAAUCGUAUCUCAUGAAUAAAUUUAGUCAUAUGAUGAUGCAUAUAUACAUUGACCCUAGACACCAAUAAAUUUGCUACAUUCUGAAGGCUGAAAUUCUGAACUGUCAAACGAAAACUUUGCCUUCUAACAGAUAUGAAUCACAUAUUGUGGUAAUGGAGCCAUGGCUUAAUAGACAUUAGUAUUUCAGUGUGAUUUUUAUUGAACCUGAUUCUAGAUUUGCAUGCGUGUGUGGUACUUGAGUUGAAUUAAACUAGGAUAUACAGUUGUGUACUAUGUGUAAUGUAACCUUUUGAUAACUUGUAUCCUUCUUUCUGAGGAUCUUUAUGUGUCUUCAUGUACAGGCUAUGCCAAAUGACAGAAUCGUGGAUGGUGCUACUAAUGGAUAGGACAAUUGCUAAAGGGCAAACUGUAGAUGAUUUGCUAAGAAGGAGUGCAGGAAUACCUGCUGCAUUUAUUGCCCUGUUCCUCGCAGAGCCGGAAGGAACUCCAAAGAAGCUACUUCCAAGGGCACUAGAAUGGUUGAUAGAAUUUGCUAAGACAUCUUUAGCUAAUUUUCAGAAAGACAACCACCAGAAGUCUGGAAUAACGAGAGAUGGCCUUGGAGAGCUAUGUGAAUCGGAAUCAGGAACUACCGCAAGUGCACAUUCUAAUGGGAAUCUAUCUAAAAGCCGAGAUGAGGGUGUUGUUCCCACUGUGCAUGUGUUCAAUGUGCUUAGAGCUGCCUUUAAUGAUGCAAAUUUGGCAACCGACACUUCUGGUUUCAGUGCUGAGGCAACAAUAGUUGCAAUUCACGCAUUUUCAUCUCCCUACUGGGAAGUGCGCAAUGCAGCUUGCCUUGCAUACACUGCACUGGUCCGUCGCAUGGUUGGAUUUUUGAAUGUGCAGAAACGUGAAUCAGCACGACGGUCAUUAACUGGCCUUGAAUUCUUCCACAGGCAAGUUGAAUACAUUUCAAUAUGGUUUGCUAUGUAGCAAUUGUGGUCAUUUGAUGUAUACUGCAUUACUUUUAUUUGUGUUAAACAUGAAUUUUAUUUGUUGGGUAACCUUUUUGCUGGUUCAACACUUCAGUCUUGUCUACAUGAUACUAAAUACAUGUUUUAGCCUUCCCAGCUUCUCUCAAAAUACAUGCCAUCUUUCUAGGCAUUUUCCCCUAUUUUCUUUCUUUCUUGCCCUUGCUAAAUAAAUGCUAUCACUCACAAACAAAUGACAUGUCUCUUUCCAACGUAAAAUGUAGGGCAACAUUUGAUCCACUUUCUCAAUCCUUGUGCACAACUCUCAAAUGACAUGUAUCUUGAACUGGAUGGAGUAUAUUAGUGAAUCAAGAGAAAAGGAAUUUGGCAUCAUCUCAGUUAUUUUUUUUAUCAUGCUUGUUUUUAGUGAAACAAUUAUAUUCAAAGUGCUUGGAUUAUUUUUCAAUUCAGUAGGUGGAUUCAUCUGUUUAAUUGAAAUGUGCUUUUGUUAUGUAGGUACCCAGCACUUCAUCCUUUCCUUUCUAGUGAACUGAGAAUUGCAACUGAACUGCUAGCUGAUGGAGUUUCUAGCGAUUUGGAGUCACAUAUUGUGAAAGCCAUACACCCUAGCUUGUGUCCUAUUCUUAUUCUUCUAUCAAGGCUGAAGCCAUCGCCUAUAAGCUGUGGAACUGAUGAUUCUUUAGAUCCUUUUUUGCUUUUGCCUUUCAUCCAAAGAUGCGCUACCCAGAGUAACUACAGGGUUCGUGUCCUUGCAUCAAGGGCGUUAAUUGGUUUGGUAUCUAAUGAGAGACUGCAGCAAGUUGUUAGUGAUAUACUGGGUAAUUUGCCUAAUGUAAAUCAUGAAGUUUCCCCAAGUGUUCAGCUUUCUGACCCUCCCAUAUCAGCUAAUAUGGAAAAUGGAAAUUUACUUCGGUUUUCAAAGUCCUUUUCAUUCAAUUCUAUCCAUGGCCUUUUGCUGCAGCUGUCUUCUCUUCUGGAUAACAACUUUAGAGGCCUGACAGAUAGGAGCAAGAAAGAUCAGAUUAUUGGCCAACUAAUUGAGGUUCUGUCAAGAUGUUCUUGGCUUGGCAGCACCAAAUUAUGCUCAUGCCCUGUCGUAAGUACAUCUUACUUGCGGGUGUUGGAUCUCAUGCUUGAUGUUGCAAGGACAGGGAAAAGCAGACAUACUGAAGUCAUCCAGACACUGCUGUUAGAGUUGAGCUCCCAGUGCUUGAACAGUGCCGUAUCAACCCGGUAUGCAUUCCAUGAUCCAACCCGGAUUGAACUUCAACAACAAGCAACUGAAUCAUUUUUCAGCUGUGUUGGUCUUUCUAAGAGAAAUGAUGAAGCUUCUGAGGAAGAUGUACAGCUCCAAAUACUUGGUGAACACACUUCAAACAUUUCAGCGAUGCCUGGGGAGGUCUCCCUACCUGAACUACACAAGGAGAUUAUGUCAUGUCUCACUGAACCUAUGUACGAUGUUCGAAUUACAGUGCUGAAGAGGAUUCUUCAGCUCACAAAAUCAAUCAGAUAUGGCCAUAGUAAAAACAUUUUGCGCCAAUGGGCAGGAGCUAAUCUGCAGCCUGUGUUAAUGGAACGGUUAUUUGCGGAAGAACACCCAAAGUGCCUUUACUAUAAUCUAAAGAUCAUCUUUUUGUGGAACAUGGAAUCCCCAUUCAACAAUGGAGAAGAUUCUGGAACAAUUUUAUCCUUCUGGGACAGAUUAGUUCAUUUGAACAGCACCAUGUCACAUGCAAAAACCAGAGAAAUAAUUCUAUGUUGCAUGGGUAUGUGCAUGAAAUGGUUCGCUAAAUUACUCAGGAAUGGUCUUCCAAUGGUUGGACUCAAGACAAGUGAGCUCUCUGCAUCCUUUGUCAGAAUCAAUGAAGGAAAUAGAUUGUCUGAUGCCAUGCUUGGAGUAAACUUCUUUGUUACUCUCGUCAAGAACCAAAGUGCGCCAUCAGAAACUGUGAAUGCUCGACGUGCUGCUGCUGAGGCAAUUGUUGCUUCUGGUCUUCUUGAAGAAGCAAGCUUCGUUGCUUCAUCUGUGUCGAACUUGUGCUUCCCUUCUGAAUGUGAUGAGGGCCAUAUCAAAAAGAAAUGCAUGGAAGCUAGUGUUUCUGAAUUUAUCAGUAUUUAUGCAUGCAAGAUACUUGACUUAUGGUUCAUAUGCAUUCAGUUGUUGGAGGAUGAAGAUGCCUAUCUGAGACAAAACCUAGCAAAGAACAUUCAGAACAUAAUCGCAAAUGGUUCAGCUAGUAACUUCUGUGAUGAUUCCACACCACUGCAAGUUGAUAGAGUCAUUGAAUUGAGCUUUGAUUAUCUCACUUCUUUGUUUGGCCCCUGGUUGAAAUACAUCGAGUAUUUGUCAAGGAUAGUCUUAGAUACUGGAAACACUCUGAACUCCCGUGAGGAUUUGGUCCGUCAGAUAUUUGAUAAAGAAAUAGAUAACCAUCAUGAGGAAAAGCUGUUGAUAUGCCAAAUCUGCUGUUUUAAUAUUCAGAAGCUUUUGCAGUCCAAAUAUCAGAUGGAAACAGGAGGAAAAACUGGAUCGUUCCUGCAGAACUGGCGGGAGAGAUUUUUGAACCAACUCACAUCGCUGACUAGUGGCUAUCUUGAGAAAGAGGGGAAAAUUGAUUGGAUUGGCGGCAUAGGUAACCAUAAGGAUGUGUUCAUAUCAGUUUAUGCAGAUCUGUUAGGCUUGUAUGUGCUUGCACCAUCAGGUUCUCUGGAACAUCAGGACAGUCAUGCAACUUAUUUGCAAGAAUUUUCAAACCUUGAUGGGUUUAUCAAACCAUUCCUCAAGAACCCUCUGAUAUCUAACCUUUAUGUUCUUGUAAAACUAUCACAUGAGAGGUUAAGAUGCCCAGAUAAGCCAGAGGACCAAAUGGCCUCAAGUUUUGACCCAUAUUUUCUUAUCAGAUGAGUUUUGCUCAUGUAAAAACUAAUUAUUCUUCAUUGUUAUUCUUCUGUUGUAACAUUCUAAUUAUAAUUGUUUCUUUAAUAUAAAUUUACCAUUCUACAGAUUAUUUGCUCAAUGCCCCCUAGCUCAGUGAGCUGUGUUACAUUUUACGCAUCAGAGUUUUGCAGUGUAUUGGAUGUGGAAAUGAAGGCUAAUGUCAGGGCUUCUCCCUCUUGUUGAUCAACUUUAGAUUUUUUUCUGUAAAAUUAAUGAACCAGUCUGGUAGUGAGAAACCAAGAAACAUGCCUUUUUUCUUUAAUAAGAAAAUGAUUGUUACAAAUAUUGAUAAUGCCCUUAUAUGUUACAACUGGUGCAUUUCUCUUUUGCCAAAUGGCUGCACCUUUAAGAUACAACUGCAAGUGCUCAGCUCUGCAAAAACUUGGACACCAUUUCUGAGGGCACAAGAGCUUCAUGAAAUGGCAAGUAACACAGCUUGCAUGAAGGAGAGAUUCUUUCUGCAGAGGCCACAAGAGCUCUGGAGUUGAACAUGCCAUUAAUGGCCAAAUCUCUCUAGAAUUUGGGUCUGCUGUUCUGAAUUUGCCUGUUUGAACCAAUCGGUUUGGUGAUGGUGAUGGUUGAAUUGGGUCUAUGAAUGGUCGUUGUUCUCACUGGCUGUCCACUCAAAGAGGUUGUCCUUUGCUGAGAUGACCUGUAACAUGAGAAGUUAAAAUGACAAUUUUUUCAGACCUGGAAGUGCACUUUCUGAAACCAUUCAUGUAAUGCCAUGGGACAGUAAUGGAACAAACCUCUGAAAAGUGUUCUUUUGGAUAGCAGAUUGCAAUCUUGCUCGACUGCAAAUCAGAAUUAGACAGAUUCAGAAAUAGCAAUUUCAAUUUAUGAUCGUAAUUUCAAGAGUAACAAUUACCUGUUAGCCUCCAUCCUGGCUUUUUUCAGUAUAGGACUCUUGUAGUUGGAAUUGGAUAGACUGCUAGGUCCACCACCUGCAAAAACACAUAGAUCUUAGAUUAACACUGGAAGGAAUAUAGAGUUGCAGGCCAAAAUUCAGCAGAAACAGAAACAGGAAAUCACCUCCAAAGAAACUUCUUUUGCUGCUUGGAGGCACCUUUGAACAAAGUUUAAUUUGUUUGCUUUGUUUCUCUGCAUAAAAUUUAGAUGAAAGUAUAAGUGAUACUUUUAUGGUACUGACAAUGGGCUAAAGACUAUAAAAAGUCAAGACUGCCAUAUGCAGUAUUCUCCAAUUCAAACUGGGCUGAGUUGGUCAAGCACAACUGAAUUUAAAACCAUGAUAAGAAAUCUAUUUACCAGCUUUCUCUGCCUGGAACUUCUUUGUGAUUUUCUCGAGCAUCCUGUCUUCAACUUCCUUUUGCCUCUCUGUUUUUGCCUGCAAAGUUACAGGUACAAGUAACUACAGGAUGAAGGCAAUCCAUUUUAACAGAUAAAACCCCCAGUGUAGCUUCUAAGCUUCACCCAGUUUUUCCUCUUUUGAGCAAAUAUGUUGCCAUGUAUUGAUAACCUUUACUAAAAAGAGUAUGGGCACCUUCACACAUCAGUUUCCUAAUUCUAGUUCCCUUGCUGACCAUUUUCAGGUCCUCCAAGGCAAUGAAAAGUGCGAGCAAAUGAAGAAAGAACAGUGUUUUACCUUGAAGAGCUCCUUCCAUGUGUAACGUGCUUUUCCUUUUGCCUCCUUCAUUCUCUUGAUAACUAGGUUUGUAUGGUCCUCGCCAAAUUCCUUCUGAUAGAACCGCCUCCACAGAGGAUCGGUUAUCGGGCUAAGAUCCAUCUGUUCCAACAAACCCAGCCACACACAAUCACAGUCGAAUUCCCAAGAAAAGAUUUGAGAACAUUGCAGGGCUAUUUACCGACCUGUGUGCGGUUCUCGAUACGGGUGAGCUGCUCCAGCGUGCAGUGCGGCAGGAUGCGCUUGAGCAGCUCCGUCUCGAUGCCGUCGACGUGGCCCACGUAGCGGAGGUUGUCGAUGACCUUCUGGACGCAGAGGUCCACCAGGCUCCGAGGCUUCCUCCCAGACUCCAUCGUCUCCCUGCCAGAAACAACACCACAACCACUCGCUAUAUCCAGGAACUUCUCAGAUUCUAUCCUUUUUUUCCCCUCGCAAGCUGCAAAAUUGGCCGCACCGCGCACCGGAGAGGAGCAAUUCAACCAAUCGAUCUUGCGCCGCCGGAGACGAAGACGACGAAUAUUUUAAUCGGCCGAACCAGGGACGCGGACAGAGGUACGGAUCGGAUUAGCAAGAACCCGCCAUGAAGCAACCGAAUCCGGAACGAACUGGUGGACAGGAGGAAAGAUUUAGAUUGGAUUCGUCGCUCGCGGCAGCUGCAAAAGAUUAUCAAGAGAUCCUACUACUAAAUAAAUCCUAUAGAAGAUGACUCGUUGACUUGUAGACGAAGGAAAAAAGAUCCACCGAAGCGUGGCGGGGAGCCUUACCGAGGAAACAGAUCGAUUCCGAGACCGGAUGGGCGUCCUCCCCUCCGAGAAGGAGCAGAUUUGGGGAGGGAGGAGGACGGCGCGAGGAGGAAGAAGAGCAGCUGUUCGUUGUCGUGGGUGGUUCGGCUCGGUCGGCGUGCGGAUGCGUGGGUGGGGCGGGCCAUGGACCUGGCUAACCAGGUUGGCCGGCCCAGAAGAACACGGGAGUUUGCGGGCUAAUUUACUUAGCUGCGUGUCGGCCUAAAUUUGAAAACAGCCCAUGUAGCUCAAAAAUUCUCAGAAAAAUCGAAGAGUGGAAAAAUCACUUUCUUAAAAAAACAUAUAUAUAUAUAUAUGUAUAUUUUUCUAGCCUUUCAACUUGUUCAUAAUUGUUUAGUCCGAGGAACCAACAAUACAGAGAUGAUCUGUAGCUGGAGUUGGGUCUUAUAGCUUGAGCUUGCAGAUUCUUCUCAGGCCCGCGUUGGGAUGGUCAGCUCAGCUGUUGGGUUGUUGCUGCAUGCCUGCAUCGAUCUUGUUAUCUAGAAAACGGUCAGAGGUGGAGUACGUACCAGCGUAAUGAAUCUCAUUAGCUAAAAGAAAAAAGAUUACGUAAAAAAACACACUAAAAAGUGUUCAUUCAUUGCCACGUACAAAAACAAGACAAAAUUUCCAUUGCCGGGAUUUGAACCCGGGUGUCACCUGGGUGAAAGCCAGGUAUCCUAACCGGACUAGAUGGCAAUGGAACUAGUUUGAGUGUUCUACGGUUCCAAUUUAGUCUAUGUGAGUGUUCUACGGUUCCAAUUUAGUCUAUGCAAAUUAUAGGUCGUUUUGAUUUUUCUACAUGCAUAGAUAUUAUUAUGCAUCUAGACAUAGGGUAUAUCAAGUGCAUAAUAAAAUAUAUAAAUCUAAUAAAGCUAAAACGACCUAUAAUUUGGAAUGGAGGGAGUGCUAUUUAUUAUCCUCUCUCUCUCAGGCAAUAGAGCAACUUUCGCUCAGCAAAAUUUUCAAUUUACUUGUUUCCAGCUUACAGUUAUUAGUAAAGAAAAAUCCAUGUCGAACUGCACCAAACUGAGGCUGAUACAAUAGUUAAAAGAAAUCAUACAAUUAAUCUGUAAAUAAAGUUUCCUUUAGUCUUAAAUAUGUGCUUGCGAUGAAUGUAGCUGAUUUGUUGAUACGUACAACCCUAAUUAUUAGCUUGAUAGAACAAAAGAGGUUAUAAGUCCACAUGCUCUCCUAUGCCCAACCCAAGAUUCGGUUAUAAUUACAAUGUUGUGACGUAGAGAUAGUAUAAUAUGUGUCAGAUCCGGACCUUGGAGAUAUAAUAUUUUUUAAUUAGACGUCACGUAUAUAGGGAUAUUAAGAAGUAUGCAUGCACGCCUACCUAAGUCAUCUAGUCAGUAAGCUUUGACUUUGUCACGAUUGAUCUUAGCAAAUAGUCCCACAAGUUAAAGUCCAAGGGGGCCGACGCCCCCACCUAUGCACCUUGAUUGGCGGUGCAAACCAACUAGUGGUUGUAGGGCGGUCCCUCACGGACCAACGUUUUGUGAGGCACUACAACAUCAUGCAGAGAAAUUCAUCAUGAAUUACAUGGUUUGUUAUAGCGAGAUAAGCCUCCAUCCUACAAACCAAAGCGAACCAGCAAUGAGGUGAUGGGAAAGCCGCCGCCCCUUGUUCGCUCAUUUGCAACCAACACUACUACCAAAGAUGAUGAUAACGAUCAUGAAUUGCAAAUCUACAUUGAAGUCUACGCCAGGCCUGCAUCAAGUAAGCACAUGAACUCUAACAAAGCUCAAGAGCUUCCUCCUCAUCCACCAAGGCAAUUGAGAACUAAAACCUCUAUAAUGUAGGUGUUAUAUCUAUAUCUCUAAGUUCUACACCUGGCAUCUACGCAUGGAGUGAAUAUAUGACUACAUAAGCUAAUUAUUAUGUAAAAAUUAUUCCUUAUUCAUAAACUUCAUGGGUUACUUCGGUAAUGAAUUCUCCCUUUUUAUUAUGGAACUAUCCAGUCAUUCGUGGACAAAUAUCUAGCUUAGCUAUUUUAUUAUUAAAAAUAAUAACUAAUUAAAUAGGCAACCAAUGCGUUCUUUAUAUUAAACAAUUUAAUAUUAAACCAUUCUUAAUCGCUAGUUUUAUUUCACUGUUUUCUUGCCAUCUUGAACAGAAUAAAAUCGUGAAAAAACCCAUACAAUGCAAAGUAUCAUUUUGUGAUUUCAUAGGGUAGACAUAGCAUUUAACUCAUGCAUAAUGUGUAAAGCACUUAAUUGUACACGAAAUCGGUUCAAUAGAUAUGUGAAAGAGUUUUAUUAUGUUGGAAACCAUAUGAGCCGAGUUUUUAUUUGUCAGUUUCUCUCUAUUUAGAACUUCAAUAUUGCCGUAUCAUCAUAUUUGCUUACGUGUGACAUUAUUACGAAGAAUCAAACUCCCACAUGUUGUACAUGGAUAUUAUUGUGCCCAAUUCAAUUCGUCCGAAUACUACCUCGUUGGAACAGUAAUCCGACUAACUGCUCGUCGAUCCAAUCUUCUUCUUCAGAUUAAUCCGACGAAACUGAUUCCUGAUCUCUCAUGCCUCGGACUCGGAGUCGAGCGCGAGCUGACUCCGAGCGCUUUCACCAAGCUCAGCAGGUUCUCAUGCGACGACCCACCACGGCCGGCGGUGGCCUCCGCCUCCGCCUUCCACCUCGCCGCGCUCCUCCGGAUCCCCUCGCUCUCCAUCACCCCGUCGACGUGCCCGGCGACCUGCUCCCUCCUCACCUCGGCGUCCAGCCGGAGCCCCACGCCCCACACCUCGCACGCGUACUUGCAGAUGGUGAACUGGUCCGCGAACACCGGCCAGCACACCAUCGGCACGCCGGCGGCGAGCCCCUCGCACGUCGAGUUCCACCCGUUGUGCGUCACGAAGCACCCCACGGCGGGGUGCCGCAGCACCCGCUCCUGCGGGCACCACGUCGCCAGGCGACCCCGCGCCGCCGUCCCCGCGAGGAACGCCGGCGGCAGCGCGGCCGGCCCACCGACGGCGCCGGGGACGAGGUCCUCCCUCACGACCCACAGGAACGGGCGGCUCGUCGCCGCGAGGCCCCACGCGAAUUCGGCGAGCUGGGCGGCGGUGAGCACGGUCAGGCUGCCGAAGUUGGCGUACACGACGGAGCCCGGGUCCUGCGCGUCCAGCCACGCCAGGCACUCGGUGUCGUGCUUCCACAGGCUCAGGUCGAUCGAGUCCGAGUCGCCGCCGCCGGCGUCUUCGUCCCCGUCGCCGUCGUGGCGGUGGCGGAGCAGGGUGCCCAGCGGCCCGACGGUGUAGAUGCGCGGGUACUCGGCGCGGAGGGCAGCGAGGACGUCGGGCUCGAGGGCGUCGAAGGUGUUGAUGAUGAGGGCGCCGGCCUUGGUGCAGUUGUUGGCCUCCGUGAUGUUGAACCAGAGGCCGAAGUCGUCGGGGUCGGUGGUGCGGACGAAGCUCGAGACGUCGCCGAGGCUGAUCGGCGGCAUGCCGGGGAUCCAGUCGAUGAUCGUCUUCUCCAGGUAGCCGUUCGUCAAGGAGCUCUCAUCUGCAAGAUGAGAAAAAGACGAGCGAGUCGAUACACACAUUGACGUUAAUUUGGUUAAGUUGCUAGCUUGCUUGAGUAAUUAGUACGUCUUAGUUUGAAUUGAACUAAAACAAUAUAGAUUAUAUUAAUGCGUGUGUAGUUGCAUCCAUGCGGGUUGCAUUUAGUAGUUAUAAGAGUGAAUAAUUUUUAAAAUGUGUUUAGACAUUGAUUAGGAUUUGGUGUUUUAGAGCUUUUCACGAGCUCCUCUCGGAUAAGCUCCAAAUGAAAGGGUGGCUGGAAAAAAAAGCUGUCUGCAAGCAUAUUUUAUUUACAUUGGUGCUAUUAGGCCACCUAAACAUCCGCCAGUACAGAUGCACCCUAUCUAUACUGGCGGGUGUUAGGUCGCCUGCCAGCACAUACCUAUCUCUGCUUGCGGGUGUUUGCGGGUUGGCUCUGGCACCUUUGUACUGGCCGGUGCCCGCCAGCCCGCUAGCACCUUCCAUGUGGCAAAUCUUUUUCUAGCAUAGUAUUUCCUAAGAAUGUUCCAGAUUUUUUUUGCAAUUAUUCUCAAUUUCCUAGAGCGAAAUCCAUUUAUCAUGUUAUACAUUAUUUUUUCGUAUGCCUGUCUUAAGUUUAUUAAUAGUUCAAAAAUAAUUUUGCUAAUUCAGUUUGAGAAAGUUUUUACUGUGUGUGGCCAAAAUGGUUUUUACUUGAACAGAGAGUUUAAGUGUAGUGUAUGUAGAGAAGGAGCACGUAGGACCAAUAUAAUGACCUCUGCAAGCAUAAUAUUUUUUUUUUGAAGGAAACAGGAGGGGGAGCCCCCUACUGAAUUAUUGCAAAAAAGAAAAGAGUUUAAAAGCAGUACAAAUCAGACCCAAGGCUUAAAGAAAGAAAAACAAACAAAGGAAGUACAAAAGAAGGGAAUUCGUUAAGGUCGGAGCAUAAUCACGUGUGCUUAGUAGAAUUUGAAACCAAUAAAGGCAUCUGUGUACACGACACAAGACUUUUACUUUAUGCUGCAAAGCAAGUUGCUCUCAGAAAAUUGAAGUACAAGCAACUGGCCAAUAAGAUAUUAUUAAUAUAGUAAACUUGCAUUGAUCCAAGAAAAAUGAUUAGUUUUGACAGUCAGCAGAAAGAAGAAUAGCUAUACCAUGUUGCAGUUGCACAACAGACAACAGAGCAGUGAAGUCAACCCACCACUCCUAGAUCCUACUUCAAAAUGUAGCACAGCAUUUGCAAAUCGUCUGAUCACGAAUUUCGUUUUGAUGUUUGAAUUUGAAUACAGGAAUGAACAUAGGGCUGACUCGUAGAUUUAUUUAUGAAAGAAAAUCAUGUUUGGCACUCUAGCUUUAGUUACAGUUUGGAAACUAAAUUUAAAAAAUGUAAAUUAAACUCACAAUAUUGACCCAGUGAAAUCAUACCCUACCUUUUUUACUUUUUUUUUCAUUUUAACGUAGAAGAUGUUUGGAUAGAGAAAAAUUAUGGCAACACUAUUUAUAAUUCAAUUUAAAUUGACAACAUCCCAGUGAAAAUCUUCCUCUGCCUUAUUUUUACUUUUCUUUUUAAUUUCACCUAGCUAGAAGAUGUUUGGAUAGAGAAAAAUUACCGCAACGCUAUUUAUAAUUCAAUUUAACUUUAGCAGAGUCCCAGUGAGGAGCGUCGAGUACCUUUGAGUGGCAGGUAGCCCCUCUCCUUGAGCUCCCGGAGCCUCAUGUGGCCCAUGAGCGCCGCCGCGCUGCCGCCCCAGAGCACCAUGCUGGGGACGCCAAGGUCCCUCGCCACCUCCAGUGCGAAACUCAUCAGCGCCGUCGGCAGCACGCACGUCACUGGCGGCACGUCGCCGCCGCCAACGCGGAGCCGCGCGACGAGGUCCCUCAGCGGCGCCGCGCCGUGGUGGACGGUGGCCCUGGACAGGCCGAGGUCGUAGUCCUGCGCGCCCCGGUCGGCGUCGAGCAGCCCGUCCGGGAUGGUCUCGAUCCGGAACCCCUCGCGGGCGCCGGCGGUCACGGCGCCGUCGCCGCCGCCGGCGGCGGCCUCCGCGCGGCGGAGGUUGUGCUCGGUGACCACGAAGGUGAUGAAGACGCCGCCGCGGCGGAGGAGCUGGGCCAGCUGCAGCGCCGGGUUGAUGUUGCCGGAGCCCGGGUACGGCACCACCACGGCGUGCGGCCUCGCCAUGCUCGCUCGCUCUUGUUGGUGCUCUUGCACGUACACUUGGGCUCAGUUGUUCUUCUGUGUGCUUAUCUCGCCAUGGAUCAGAAUUAACAAAUAUAUGGCACGUUGGAGAGGGAGAUCUAUGGCCCGUCCCGCGACCGCGAGUCCCGACGCAUUUGGCGGGUUAGAGGAUCAUGUGCUGGUGGGAGGUAUACGCGGGAUCGAGAGAUACCGUUGUACAAGGAGGAUUAUGAUCCAAGGGCAGUAUAGUAAAAAAUUAUUAUAGAACCACUAUAUGAUCACAAAUAAUCUCAAAUAAGCUAUCUAAGACUUACUUAUUUUAGAUUAUUUAUGGUCCUAAUGUGGUUCCAAGAUGAUCUUUUACCAUAAUACUCAUGACCUAUAAUUCAGCUUAUAUAAUCUACUAGGUGGAUUAUAAUCUUAAACAAACAGGACCUAAACGCUCUAUAUAUUUCAUAUAUUUACAUCUCACAGCUAGGUCAGACUAAAUAAUGGAGUUCGACUACCAACUACGUUGAUCAUGUAUAUAGUUUUGGACUACGUAGAAACUUCAUAAUCAACAAUAGGACCAUGAAUAUAAUGUGCAUGUUGAUGUUUGACUGCAACUAUAUCUUAAACAUUUGUGGUUUCCAACACUUAAUGUAUAUAUUGUACACAUUUUUCAAAGUUACGCUACCACAGAAGAGGUCAUCACCUCCGACCUCAAAUCCUUUAUCACCGCCGUUUUGGUGACCCGUCAGGGUCGGCGGUGAUGACUUUUAUUAUCAUAAUCGGAUUUGAAACUAGCGGUGAUAAGCAUCAGGAAAAAAAAAGAAAUUCGGCCCGAUGCUGCUCCUCAAGUGCUACAGCAUCCAGAGCGCCGCUGCCUCGUGGCUCGGUGCCGCUCCACCCCACGCCGCCGUCUCGCGGCCUGGUUCCUUUCCACUCACGGCGCCGCGUCCAUCACUUCCGCGUCCAGCACUGCGUUGCUCCCCCACACGCCGCCGUCUCGCAGCCUGAUGCGCUCCAUCCCACGCCACCGCAUUCGGCCCGCAGCUCCUCCACUAUGAUUGCCGCAUCCGACGUGCUCCUCCACCGGGAACCGCUGUGUCGCGUCCUAGCACUCCUCCCCCGCACGCUACCUCCUCCGACCUUGCCCUAGCGCUACCUCCACAUCUUGCCCCGCCGUCGCUCCUCGUUGCUAGUGAGGGGUGAGUGGAGGGGGGAGGGGAGAGGCAACAGAGAGGACCCAGCUGACCAUCAUCGUCAGCGACUGAGCAGAGAUCGGGGAGAUGGAGAGAGUGAAACACAAGAAGAGAGGAAGAGUGAAGGAGAGAAGCGGAGGAAGGAUAGAUGUGGAUAAGAGUGAGAAGAGAGAAGCGGAUGGGAAGAUGGGGAGAAGACCAAAUAAAAGUUAAGAGGAGAGAGAUGAGCGGAUGCGAGAUCGGUCAAAAUCAGAGUUGAGAACAAUUUUGGGUCCAGAGGCUAUAUCACCGCCAAAUUUAGUUACGAACUGGCGGUGAUACUUUCACUGCCAGUUUUAAUCACCAACCGGCGAUGCAAAGUACCAUCACCACUGAUUUUAACUGCUGUUGCCCCUAUUAGCUCAACUGGUGGUGAUAGCCCAUUGGUGAAACCUAUUUCUGUAGUAGUGUUACCUCUAUGACAUUGUAAUAUUUUUGGCUCUGACACUAAGUAUUACAGCAAUCCAUCGACGUCAUCUUGAAUCGCUCCUAUGAAACAAUAUUGAUAAAAUGUAACUAGUAACCGUGAAAUUUUAUGAGAUGGACAAGAUAUUCAAUUUCUUUUCACGAUCAAAUAGGCUUCCUCUAUUAUAGAGGAGCUGAAUGCAUUACAUUCCCUUUUCUUAGAGGGAACUAGAACAUUUUUGUGUCGAGGUCGAUCCAGCCGGGAAAAUGAAAGAGCAACUUUGCCGGCCCAAUGAGUGUGGGUCGCGGCAUGACGAAGGCCCACAGUUUGAGAGGCGGCGGCAAGCCCAACGUUUCUUCUUCCCCGAAAAACAAACCAGUGAAACCACACAAGCAACUGCUAGGCACGCGGCACCAAAGGAGCGACGGCGCCGACGUGCCUGACUGCCUGCAACGUCGGCUUUCCCUUUCGUGGUCACUGGGUCACCGCCAGCGGCUGCCUCCUUCAGUCCUCCUGCCGGGUGAUGGUGCUGGGCCAUAUGUGGCGCUGGCCCGCAGCGCAGGCGGGACGCACACCAACUGCUCGACGUAAUGGGUCAACGAUUCAAAUAGCCGCGCCCGGGUUUCUGAGAAGGUUGGAUUACUUUGCUUGCCUUGUCUUGGUUUCGUACAUUCUUGGAACUGACUAAAUUCUCUCCAGUACGAUUCAGAACUACCACACAACUCCACAAUACAGUUUUCCCCCUUCAAGGAUAAACAGACACUUGUGAAGGAGGCAAUCAAUUCCACCUUGUUCAACUUAUUCGAAUCAUCUAGAACAUUGUAGUGAACAUGUUUUCUAUUAGGCUACGACAUCGAUUCUUUUCAAACAUUGUUGCCUAAUUCACCUCCUCCCCCUCUUAAGCUACGAGCACCGAUUCCUUUCAAACAUAUUUUCCAUGAACUAGAAAGCCACUUGUGCACCAUUCCGUGGUUCAAGAAUAAUGUUCAGAAACAGUCUUAUAUAUUACUCGAUAAUACAGCACAACACAAUACACUUGAUAGUUACAUAUUUUUAUUUCCCAACAGCAUCCGCGACCAACCGCUGGGUGCACACAAUACGUUUAUUUGAGCUAAUGACAAUACUUACUUUAUGGUUCUGUCCUGACUUCCAUUAUUUAGGUACAUCACCAUGGUCUCAAACAUGACCGGUUAUUAUUUCAUUUGUACUAAGUACAAUAUAGCCCAUAGUUUGCUUAUAUGGUUGUACAUACCACCACGGCACCACUGGGCAAGCUUCAUUCUGGUAUUGGCUCCACGAAGAGUAGCUUUAUCAUUUCUUGGAGUAUUUCCGAAGUAGUAAAUGCGUCGCAUUGCUUGUACAUGUAAACUGCAGUUCUUGAUAAGUCGAGCACUGUUCGUCGCACGACCUUUGGUUGAUCUUCCAGCACGAGGGAUCCUUGUAUCAUAUCCUUCCAUGAAUCUUCACUGAGUUGUUUUAUCUUUUUAUAUGCAUCUUGCAUUGUUGUUCCGUGCUCCUUCAUGUAACACUGGAUACUGGAGGGGCUAUGGUCCCCUGUUUGCUCACGCUGUGAACAUGUGGGCAGUGGAAAACGGCAUCAAGUUCGUUACUGUAACAACUAUAAGUUAAUCUUCCAAAUUAUAUAAUAAACUUAUAUUUAUAUUCUGCUUCACUAAAAUUGUAAAGUAGAUGAUGUUAUGAAUCUAGUCCAUGAACUGAACACAGUCCAUGAAAGAGGAACUGGAGGUUAAAAUGAAUUCAUAUUUACUGUUCUUUGCAUAAAUUAAACUUGUAUUAAGGAUAGGAAAAUACCUGAGUUGAUACAAGAUCAUUAGCGAGCCGUACAAAUAUAGCAAAAGACUUGAAAAAUUGCGGGUAGCUCAAAAUCCACUCGAAGACCUCCUUUGUUAUUAUGUCCCCCAUUCCAACAAAUGCAGCACAUGUUAGCGCAGCGGAUCCAACGCUUUCCAUUGUUACUUGAAGGUGCUCGCUCAUUGAUGGCACAUAAUUUUCUUCACGCCAUUUUAGUUCUUUGCAGUAUAGAUGAACUAAAUGCUUAAUCUAUAUGAGAUAUGAAAAUGAGUUGAGUCAUUUUAAAUCCUGAUAAAGCUGCCAAUAUGGAAGGCUUGAAAUAGGAUUUAAUUGAAUUGAAGGUAUUUGCAUUCUGCACAAUAUGUCAUGCUUGUACAUGGCCUAUGUUUGGAACAACUUUAUUGAUUGCCAUAUUUGUGCCGGAAUACAGUACACCAUAAUCCUUUUACCAAAAAAAAA
This 60475-nucleotide long non-coding RNA is filed under the name Setaria viridis. RNAcentral describes it as "long non-coding RNA (SVIR_LNC006295)". Lineage: Eukaryota; Viridiplantae; Streptophyta; Magnoliopsida; Poales; Poaceae. The record is from RNAcentral.